GGAGUGUGACGCAUCAUCAUAGAUAUAAGGGAAGCUUCAAUGUUUGUGAAUAAAUUGAACACGGAAUAAAACUUGAAGUUUGAAAGUUUUUUUUUGGUAAGAACUUGAAGUUUGAAUGUUAAGGUAAGAAGAUUAUCUGGUGCAAAAGAAAAAAAAAAGUAAGAAGAUUAUUAAAACUUUAAAAAGCUCCAAAUGUUUUAAAAGAAAAUAUAUUUUCAAUAAAAUGGAGAAGGCCUUAGAAAAUAAAAAAAGAGUUAUUAAAGAGAAAUUGCAAAAAAAGUUUGCCGCUAUCGGAUCAGAUUUUUCUGAUGUUCGAAAACGAAACUCGAGACACUAAUACUAGUGAAUACAAUACUUACAGCUUUGCGGCGAAGAUACUAGAUCAAAACCAUAAGCAUAUAUGAUGGAGCGGAAGCUUCUAGGGAUAGGAGUAGAGAUCCGUUGAUUCUCAGAAUACCCGGAAAUCUAGGGUUUGAGAGUCCUCCUCUCAGGGCUUUCGCAAAAGCUCUUGGAUUUGUGAAUACUCUUCACAGUGGUUUAUUAAAACCUCUUUAAAUCUUUCGAUUAAUCAAUAUAUCAAAAUAACUGCAUACAAUAGGAGGCUUAAGAAGCCUAUUUAUAAUAAAGCAUAAAACCCUAAAACUAAGAAUAUUCUAGAAUAAUUAUAAUAAAUAAAUUAAGAGAUAAUAAUAAGAGAUAUUUGGAAUAUCUCGCUGCAUCAGGUCUCGCCGGCCAAGAAAAGAUUCGUCCUCGAAUCUUGUAUCUGCGCUGCAUCAGCUCCCGCCGGCCAAGAAAGAUUCGCCCUCGAAUCUUCAGCAGAUUUUUUAGCAAAAGUGAUCUUUGUAGAUCCAUCUUUAUCUCUGUCGGUUGAUUUAGCUCGAUUUUUGCACAAUCCCGGUUUGAUCCGAAAUUUGCACGAACUGUAACUGACCCAAAAUUUGCACGAACCGGAUCUGACCCGAAAAUUGCACGAACCGGAUCUGACCAAAAUUUCGCACAAAUCACCUCCUCGACAGAUGUACAGGUCGGAACUUGCAUGAAACUUACCCAAAUCGGUGGUUUCAUGAUUUCUGCAGAAAACCCGAAUUUUGCACGGAUAUGAUUUCGCCCGAACUUUGCACAAAUAAGAUCUUCUUCAUAAACAUCAUAGAUCGGAUCACCAACAAUUUCUCUGUAGAUCUGGUGGUUCUCCUCUCUCUCGAUAAAAGGACUUUCGUCCAUGAUAGGGUAGAUGCAAUCACUUGCCAUGUGAUAACCAGAAUCGUUCAUUGAUUUAGAAAUCAAAGAGACGCAGCUCUGAUACCAAAUGAUGGAGCGGAAGCUUCUAGGGAUAGGAGUAGAGAUCCGUUGAUUCUCAGAAUACCCGGAAAUCUAGGGUUUGAGAGUCCUCCUCUCAGGGCUUUCGCAAAAGCUCUUGGAUUUGUGAAUACUCUUCACAGUGGUUUAUUAAAACCUCUUUAAAUCUUUCGAUUAAUCAAUAUAUCAAAAUAACUGCAUACAAUAGGAGGCUUAAGAAGCAUAUUUAUAAUAAAGCAUAAAACCCUAAAACUAAGAAUAUUCUAGAAUAAUUAUAAUAAAUAAAUUAAGAGAUAAUAAUAAGAGAUAUUUGGAAUAUCUCGCUGCAUCAGGUCUCGCCGGCCAAGAAAAGAUUCGUCCUCGAAUCUUGUAUCUGCGCUGCAUCAAUAUGGCAACUCGACUCUCUACUUAGAUCUCGUGCUUAGCAACCUAAUAAAUCGUAGAUCUAAGCAUAUCAUUAUUGAGAAGCUCUUAACCUUCCAAUAAUGAUGGUCUAACAUCCUUCCUCCAAUAUCGAUGAUCUACGAGAUUUAUGAACAAGACUCCCUUCAAAUUUGGUUUGGUGAAUGUAGUCACGACGAUUUACAAAAGAGUAGUGGUUCAAUCAAACCUCCAUGUAUCUCAUGUCAUCCAUAGAAUUGUAUCUCUCUUUUCUAAAUUUGCGAGAAUGUUACUUAACUUCCUUUGUCUCGUACUAUAUAUAACUCAUAUUAAGGACUGAUGGAUCCUUGAUUGGCUUUACAUGGGAAUUGUAAGCUUUUAGGUGAAGGUCUGCUCAUUAGUUCUUUGUUUUAGAUGUUUGAAUUAUUUAUUUCAUUGAUUAUAUGAAUUUUUGUGAUCUUCCCUUACAUAUGUAUAUGUGUUACUUCAUGGGAUGUGAAUGUCAGGACAAAUACAAGGAAAAGAAAGAGAAAAAGAGUAAUGAUAGAAGCAAAGACAAACAGAAGGAAAGAAAGGAGAAUCCAAUAAGCAAUGACACGAUUGAGUCAUCGGUUCAAGAACAUGAAAAAGACCUAUUAAAGUCUUACCAGAAACAAUUCUCUCUCCCUUUUAAGCUCAUGAAGAAGCUUAAGAUUCAUUAUGGAAGCAGCUUCUUCAGUUUGGUCCGAUAAUGGUAGAUAAGUAGUGAUAAUAGUUAUGUAUCUAAAAUUAAUAUUAUUUUGGAGAACUAUAGACUAUAUUUAAUUUAUUUGAUCAAUCAUUAAUCAUUGGGACCCUUAAUCAUAAGAUAAUAUUAUUUUGGAGAACUUUUGAGUUUAAAGUUUUGACUAAAUUGAUCGGUUUCAUUGAUGUGAGAUCAAAAUUUUCUGAGAAUCUCAGGUGAUUGAUUGUCAACGAUGGUGAGAUAUUACAGAUGGACGAAAAUAAUAGAAAUCGGGGUAUAGUCGGUUUAAUUCCGGCUGAUUAUUAAAUUGGUCAAUUUAUUAAUUAAAUCAAAUAAUUUUUAUUUAGUCAAAUCAAAUCAAGAACCCUAUUUGUAUCAAAGUGACACCUCCUUGGUACAUGAACCUAGUUAAUCGUCGUGACCUACUUAAGAAAAAAGAGAGAAGGAGAGCUCAUUCACUAGGGAGAAGGAGAACAAGCUUGGUUUUGUGUAUAUAGCAAAAGAGGCAAAACUGUUGAGAUUUGGAAGGAAAGGGUUCCCACGUAUCAAAACAUACCUAAAGGUAAUGAAAUUUGUACCUAAGUCUUGUACCUCAAUUCUCCCAUUUACAAAAGUUGAUUUAGGUUAAAACUAUGUGAGUUAUCUGCAGUUUCAUGAGACACUUACGCAAACGGGUACUAGUGGAGGUUAAAAGUGUGAUCGUGGUAGCAUAUGUUAUCUGAUCGGCACCAAAUUUUGUGGGAAGCUACGCGACAUCGAGGGAGUGCCUUACACCAGAGAUUUGAACGUUAGCGGUUGGUUUCAGGUUUAGGGUUUUGUCUGUGAGACUGUAUUUUUCUACUGUUUAUGCCCAGUUUGCUUCAAGGUUGUUUUUGUUUGUGUGGGUUGUUUUAGGGUGUUGCUGAACUGUUGUAAUCGCGAGGAGAUUCUCUCCUAAUUUUGUUUGUUGUUCGAAUAAUUUUUGUAAGGUGAGUGUGUAACCAUGAGUUUAUCUAAGCGAUUUAUAUUAAGUGACUUAUUUUGUGAUGAUGUGUAAGUUGUGGAGCUUCGUACAAUCUUAAAUACUUAAAAAUUAAUAAACAAAUACAACUGAAAAAAACAUUAGUUACAAAAAAUUAUCCAACGAGCUUAUAAGUAAUAAAAUUCACAAUCAAAAUAAUGUUACACAAUUUUAAACACUAAGCAAAUUUUAAAAUAUAUAUAUAUACAUAAUUCUCAGCGUAUCAAGGAGAGUUUCGUUCCUCCUUUGUGGUAUGGUGUGGAUUAUAAAGGAUCCAUUUUUCAGACCCACAUUUGUGUCCUCUACUCUUGUAGCGGCAGCACAUGCUUUGGAGGCAACGACCAUCGCGGCCUUAGUUUUGGGUGUUUCAAGGCGGGCUUAUUCUUCGAAUUGUCAAGAUCUCAAGAUUUUUCACAGUUUCGGUGGCCUCGCAGACGAGUUCGAAGAUGUCGUAGCGGAUACUUUUGAGCUUUGGUCUAAAUUUCUUUUUGCUUUCCCUUUUUUUUUGUAUAUCCACCCAAGAAUCUUUCUUGGUUCAUCUCCUCCAGAAAUGGAGUUGAGUCAUUUUAGAAUUAAUGUUAGUUUACAAAAAAAAAAAAAGUAUUUACGAUUGUACAAUGAUAUUGUGAUUGUUAAUUAUAUAAUUUAACCUGCGGAAUACAACAUGACAAUUUGUUUUGUUAUAUAUAACCGUAAUUUAAUCAACUUAACUAAGUAUGUAUAAUAUUUCAAAUAAUGAUAUGAUGAUGGCGUAACAUCUUUCAAUUAACUCAUUUUAUUUUAGACUAAAAUAUUUUGUGUGUAAACAGCCCGUAAGAAAAAAUAUAAUCAUAUUUAUAUAAAUUCAAACUCGUUCAAUCAAAUUUAUGUAAACUGAAACUCAUUCAAUCAAAUAUAAUCAUAGUUAUAAGCAUAUUAGUCUUAUUUAUAAUGUUUUUGAACUAUUAUCUAAAAUUUUCUACCCGAUGUGUGACGUUGUACAUUUUUUUCUUUAUGAUUCAGUAAUAUAUGUCCGUUUUCAAAAAUUCAAAUUACAACAUAUGUGGAAAAAAUAUAUAUAUUUAUUAUACAUAUGUUAUAUGUAAUAAUAUAAAUUUUAAAACAAAUAAGAUCAUAUAACGAUAUUUCAGAGAUAUUCAAUUUAUUAGGGAGAUAUUUUAGGAAAAUCGAAGUAGUUGUAGAUCUUUUACAAAUUUAAACCUUAUAGUUAGUAAACUUAUAGAAAUGGCAAGGGUUUAUGAUAGCAAAUAAUACAAAUUAAAAUGUUACUUUACAAAAGGUAUUUCAAAAUUGUUAAUAUAGAUAUUUCGAGUACUCCGAACUUACCUGAAUCGAAAAGAUCUCAAACAAAACUUGAUUCGAAUUGUUAAAAUACAUGAAUGGGACCUCAACCAGUAGUCCCAAAAUACAUGAUCUUAUAAAACCCGUGUUCGUUAUCAUUCCUAAAUCUAUGAAAAAUGGGCCUUAAUCAAAUCAAAUCCAGUUCUGAUUAAACAUGAUAUCAUGUGCGUUUACAAUUUGUCUAAUGGCCCAUCUAUAUUGGUUACAAAGCUACCAUAGAUCAUGUGUUAAAGAAACAAAAAGAGUUUGAGAUUAAUCUUUGUGCUUUUGUGUGCUUGAGAUUGUAAACUCCUUGUAGUUCUUGUUCUUGAGUAGAAUGAGAACAAGAACAAGAACUAUAUACUAAAAAAACAAAGAUUUGAGUAGAUUGAGAAACUUAUUAGUAAUUAAAUCUUAAAAUUGAGUAAUUUGACCAAAACAUAAAUUGAACCAAAUUGAUACAUUUCUUUUUUAUUCCAACCCACUAGAAAAUAACGAACCAAAACGUUCCACGUCAUCUUUCUUCAAACAAACACCAAUCUCAACACCACCACUUCCAUCUCCACUCUCCGACAACGAAACCGAAGCAUCUUUAUCAAUAGUCACUAUCUCUACUUUAACCGGUUUUCCCCACCCAAAAUCCGACCCAUAUAUCCCUAACCGGGUUGACCCGGCAACCGAAAUCAUCUGUCUACCCGGUUCCAUCCUCUUAAACGCCUCAAACGGUAAAAGCAUAUUCUUCUCUAUAUUCUCCGGACACAACCCGUUGACCCAUACGGUCAAACUCUCCACGGCCGAGAUUAACCCUUCUUCCAAGAUUGGUUCUGCCUUCACGUCAAAAUCUCCUGACCCGACAAUGCAGUUUCCAAAGAACGUCGACGGUAACGGAGGGUUUAACCGUGACCGGAAGUCUGAUGCAAAACCAAUACACAAGAACCGGGUCGGGUCACCUCCAUGCAUCUUUACCAUGCAUGUUAUAACGUAACCGUAAGUGAUGACAAAAGUAGAUAAACGUAGGUCUUGAGACAAUGACUUGGUCUUGACUACAUCACGUAGCUUUUUUAUGUUUUCUUGAGUUAACCUGUACGUGACUCGGAUAAUGUCUUGUCCGAUGGCUUUAGAUGGAAACAGUUUUAAGCUUGGUUUGUUGUUAGAAGCUGAGAUCCACCGGCUUAAGAGUUUUGUCUCCAUUCCUGUUGGGUCUUGGACAAUGGUUCGAUCAAAAGAAGGGACUAGAUCACCAGGAAGAGGUUCUUGUUCUUGUUUACAGUUGUGAGCCCAUGCUUUGAGAAACAUGGCUGUUGUUUUCCCGUCUAGAACAGCAUGAUGUGCGGUUACGCCAAGACAAAAGCCUUGGUUGGGGAAGAACGUUACCUGAACGGCGAGAACGCGAGCUGAUUCGUCGGAAAUCCCUAACUCAGGGACUAAAGGAUGAAACUCUAUGGCCGGACGAGGUUCAUCUCCGGCGAGACGUGACAGAUCACCGUUAGAUUCAGCUACCGUGAUGUGCACGGCAUCUUUUUCAUCAGGAGAGUAGACAAUGGACGGUUUGGUGUCGAUCGAGUCCCACACGAGGCGGCCGGCGAGUGGGAGAUAGUGGAGGAGGGUUGCAGAUAGAGAGGACUUGAGUUUAGGGAUGAGAGAAGAGCGAGUCAGGUCAGGGACGUGGUAGAAGAUAACACGGUCCACAGGGUGGAGUUUAAGCCAACCUAAGUCGAAGUAAGUGAGUGGGAGUGUGAGAGAGUUAGAAGGUGGUGGACUAACUUGGACCACUUCGAGUAUGUUAACGGCUGAGUUUGAAUUCACCAUGAGUUGGUAAUGAAGUUCAAAGUUUUUAUUGGUUUGCUUUGAGUUUUAAGUAUUAGUAUUUAACUAUGUAUAGGCUUCUUUGGAGGUUAUGGUCUUUACUUACUUCUCUCUUCCAAGAACGUCAACCACCUGAUAGGUUUACCCAACCGGUGGGUGGAUAUAUAUAUGAUAUUUUGGCUUUGAGUUUGAGUAUCUAACAAUGUAUAUUUUAUUUUUCAAAUAGGUACUAAUUAUAGAGAAUCUUCGCUAGACUAUCUUAGACUAUCUCCAAUGGUUUUUGCUAUUUUUGUCUCUAUAAUAGUGGAAUUCUAUAAUAGAGGUAACUUUUGCUCCAAUGGUUUCCUCUAUUUUCCCCUCUAUAAUAGAAUAUUCCAAAUAAAUUCUUUUAAAAUUUUAAUAUUAACAUAAUCUAUUUAUAAAAGUUGCAAAUUAACCCAUUUACUUUAACUUUUAUAAAAUUUUAAUAAAAUAAUUACUUUUAUUUAAAUUAAACAUUUAUCAUAAAAUCAUCAAAUUAUGUAAUAUUUUUUUAUUAAAAGUACAUUACGUUACAUAAUAAAAAAAUAAGAUACUAGAUUCUUAACCAUCAGCAUAAGUGUAUUUUCCCCACAAAUGAUCAACUAAUGCAUUUCCAAGUGAGAAAUGAGCUUCUUUAUCUCUUAUUUUCUGAAGUAAUUUAGGAGAGUAUUAAGUAAUUUUUUUUGUAUAAAAAGUAUUAUUAUGGAAUAAAUGAAAAAAAUAAAAUCUUUUUUUCUUUCAAUAAAAAUAAAAUAUAUUAUUUAUGUAUAUAUUAACUUUUGCAAAUGGUAGUCUCAAAUUUUAGAAUAUAUAUUUAUAUUAAAACCUUUAAAAUAUUUCAUAUUAUUAUUUGUGAUUAAAUAUAUUUAUUUUAUUUAUUUUGUACAUAAAUAAAAGAAGUUUGAGAUUAAAAAGACUACUUUGCAAAUAAAAUAGUUCACCUCUAUUUAUAGAGGAAAAAAUAGAGUUCCUCUAUAUAUAGAGAUAAAAAUAGCAAUCUCUAUAAUAGAGGUGGAUAUAGAGGUGGGUUGGAACAAAAUUUGCUAUAAAAUAGAGUUUAGAGGCAAAAAUAGAGGUGAGUUGGAGAUGCUCUUAGGCUCCGAAAGGUGAAAACGGAUUUGGUAGUGCGGAACAAGCGGUUUGAUAGUGUAGUACGGUUCAACUGCGGUAUGUGCGUGAUAAAUGUAAUUACAGGACAAGUGCGGUUUGUGUAAAAAAAAACGGUGCAAAAUAAUGUUUGAUUGGUGGAAAAUUAGGAUAAUUAUUUUAUUAAUAAUUAGGAUAAUUAUAUAAAUAAAUUAAUAAAUAAAUAUAUUUAUACAUUUACAAACCUUAAAAACCCAAAAUGACUUUAAUUUUUUUUUUACUUACAUACCAAUUGUUAAAUCAAUUAAAGUGUUUGACCAUUAAAAUAUAAAACAUAUUAAAAAAAAUUAUCGAUUAUUUUGAUAUUCCCAUAACAUAUUCGCAAAAUUGUCUCUUAUUUACGUCAUAUGUUCGCCAUCUGCUAUUUAUGUUGCAUCCAUGUCACAUAUAUCAUGCUCAAAAAUUAUGUUGUUUAUAUUUUUCUCAGUCAUUAGUUCUGCGAAAUCAGCAUCUGAAAAUUUUGAAAUUAUGAUGAAAUUAUGUAAUCCCACUGUCGCCAUUACCACUGUUUUUUUUAAUGUGGACAUUAUAUCUUGGAAAAUCAGAAAGAAUUCUCCAUUUUUUCUUCCAAACUCCAAAAGUUCUCUCGAUAACAGAAGGUAAUGAUGCAUGACAUUGGUUGAAUAAUUCAUGUUUAUUUCUAGGAGGAGAGCCAGACUAAAAAUUGAGACAUAUGAUAUCUCACAACUCGAUUUCUUGAUGAUCUAUAAGGAGCGUGAAAUCCUUGUUUGUUUGUAUAGCCAGAAUCAACGAGAUAAUACUUCUCUAACGGAGGCAAAGGAAACUCAUAAUCACUUUGUUGUGCCAUUUGUAGAACAGCUGUAUCGUGGCAUGAUCCUGGUGCUCCAUUCCAAAUAUAUGUGAAUAACAUAUUCAAAUCACAUAUUGCCAUCAUGUUCGAUGAUGGAUUAUCGUGGUGAUUCCAAUACAUUCCCUGUAACUCAGGCUUUACUUUGUCACAUACAUGAGUCCCAUCCAUAACUCUAACAAAUCCACUAAAAUAUGGCCAAUAUCUUCAAUUUGUCUGAAGCUAUCAGGAAUUCGAUAAAGUUCUUGUCUUGUUGGCGUUCUAAUAUAAUCACAUGCUAACAAUUCAGUUACCGUAAGAACUUCCUUAAUUUUUCUUUGCAUAGUCUCUUGAUUUCUGCCAGAUCUUAAACCAACAUCUUUUUGAACUUCAUAGUGUCCACAUAUCCGUAAAAACAUAGCCACACUUUCUUCAAUACUUAUAUUUAAUAUUGGCUGUAGACUAUAAUUUGUGUGCAACAUAUUACACAAUGUUGUGAAACAUGGAAGUGACAUCCGUAAUAACUGAAGACAAGCAUCAUCAUCUUCCUGUAACCGACGCCAUAUAUAUCUCCAUCCCAAACCUCCAUCGGUUUGGACUGGAGCUCUUCGGAAAUAUCGAAAAUAAUAAGUUAAAGCUGGUUGAAUUACUAACUCUUCAAACUGUUCAUUUUCCAAAUUCCACAAUUCAAUCCUCUCCUCGUAAUUGAGAUGGUUGGGAUAUUGUGAUCGCAAUUGACAUAUACGAAAUGCCUGAAAUUCAAUAUAAAAAACAUUAUUAAACAUAUAUUAUUUUCAAAUAACAAACUAAAUCAUUCUUUUUAAAUUACAAAACUACUUUAACAAUAAAAACAUAAACAAGAAUGAGAAAACACAAGCACCACAAAUUAAUCUUCAUCUCCUACAUCAGUUUGAUGACUUGCAUUUUGUCCUUGCGUUCCCCAAAUAUUGAAAAGACCUCCAGGUCUAGGUGUUUGUGGCUUUUGUCCACUUUCAAAAUAAUUAGUGAAACCGAGACCGGGUGAUGAUGUUUGUUGAAUAAUCAGUGAAUUUUCUUGUUGAUUAUUUCUUAUAUUUUCACUUCGGUAACCAAGUGAAAAACCGUAUUGAACAUUUGUUGGAGUUGUUCCUGAUGAACCGCCUUGUUGAGUUUGUUGCCAUGGUUGUAUGUUUGAUGGUGUGUCCCACUGUGGUGCAUUUGGUGGUGCUCCCCAUUGAUGAGCAUUUGGUGGUGUUCCCCAUUUUAAUGCAUUUGGUGGGGUUCCCCACUGUUGAUAAACAGGGCCCAACAACCAGGUGAAUUUUGCCCUCCUAAGUUAUUACCCACGGAUGAAGGAAUAUUAGAUGACAGACCCCCUAAAUGUGGACUCCCAAAAGAAUGGCAUGAAUCCAACUGUUUGGGCACAUCUUGGUUGUUCCGCGAAACACCAGUCAUAGCUUCUAACAAUUGUACCUUAUCUUUGUCAUUUCUUCCUACUAUGUCAAUGAAAUACUUACGCCAAAAGACAAACUCCUUAAGUGCGUUAACCCAUGCCCAAUAAAAUCUCGUGUUCUUAGGAAGAUCUACCGCAGUGAAUAUCGCUUCCGCUUUCUUAAAUUCAUCGUAAUCGUCUUGGUCAAAACCACCAGGACGAAGUUGUUGAAGACUUUGUCAUUGGAACUCUCUAUAACCAGCAAUGGUGUCUUGUAUUGUUGUUUCAAAGGAUUGUCACCUACAGUUUCCUCGUGUACUGCUUCCAAUAGAAACUCGUGAGCUUCCCUCAGAUCUUUGUAAAUUACUCCCACGUCUAGUGCUUCUUCCUCUUGCAUCACGGAAAUUUGUGGUGGAACGUCACCACUUUCACUAUCUGAAUCAUCAUCACCCUCUUCAUCAUUUUCAUGUUCGUUCAUUAAUUGUUCUCUUCUUUGUCGAGCAGAGUGUUGAGAUUGUGAUUGAACAUCAUAUAAUACGAGACAUCUCUUCAUCACAUCCGAAAACUCAGGUGGCUUUUGAUUCAAGCCUUUUGCUAUUUGCAUCCCUAUAAAUUUAAAAUUAAUGAGAUCGUGAUAUCAAAAUUAAAACAUAUCUUUAUGAGUACAAAGAUUAUGUUUACUUACAAACUCUUGAUCCUUCCAUCAUGACUCAUAUGCAUAUAUCAUGGAUGUAUCAGGAUCAACCGUGAUUCCAGUUUUAUGCAUAAGAACCUUCCAUCUCUUGCAGUUUUUUUGAAUUCAUUGAGUUUGUUUUUGAAAAAACCAUAAGUUUUAUUCAUGUUGAAUACUUGAUGAAACUUUUCAAACAUGUACUCUCUACCGAUGGCAGUAGGAUUAAUUAUUCAUGGCAAUUGCUUCGUCGAACAAUAGAAUUAAUGUUUUUCCUGAAUGUGCGUCCAUUUGUACUUGUCUUGAUUCUACAAAUUUCGUAAAUAAAAUAAAUGAUAUAAAAUAUAAUUAUAUUUAUAUUUUAUUUUAAAUAAAAAAUUUGUUUACCCGUACUGUUGUUUUGGUGGGAGGAGUUGAAAUUUUGGUGGGAUGAUUUGAACUUGGUUGUCUAGAAGGAUUAGUGCCUCUUCGACGAUUAGACGAGAUAUCUACAUUUAAUCAAAACCAUCAGUAAAUAAGAUAUAAAUUAUUAUAUGGUUAUUUGUUUUUAAAUCAUAUUGUUUUACUUUCAAAAUAAUAUAUUUGGUUAUAUACAUAUACAUAUUUUUAUUAGAAAAUAUUAAAAUAAUAUGAAACAUAAAAAAUGUACAAUUGUAUAUAAUUAAAUGAUAUGUAUAAUUCAAAAAGAUUAAAUAAAAUUGAUUGUAAUUUUUUUCAAAAAUAAUUUCAUUAAUACAUGCAUUCUCCUUACAAAUAGUUUACUAACCAUUAUGAACACAUUGAAUUCACAUAUGCAUGUUUCAAUCAUACAAAUUUUCUUUAUACUACACUUUAGUCUUAAACUUAUAUAUAAAGCUAAUACUUUAUUUUUAACUAAAUCAAUUAUAUAUACUAUACUAAUAUAAACAUAUAUUAUAUAUUCAAAAUUACCCAUUAUUAUUACACUUAAAAAAACUUAUGUAUAUAAAAGUAUUUUUGAAUAUUUAACAUUUGACUAAGAGGAAAACAUUUGAUUUGCUUAACACUUUAACAUACAAAUCUUAUAUAUAAAAUAUAUAACACUUUAAUCUUACAAAUCAUACACUUUAAUCUUACUAAUAUAAUAUUUAACAUUUGAUUUGAUUAGCUUAUAAAAUAUAUUCUAUUAUCUAAAAAAUUGUGAAGAUGAAAAAACUUACCUUAUAUGAAUGGAUUGUGGUGUUUGCCAAAAAAAAAAAAGGUUUAGCAAAAAAAAUUUUUUGCCUAAAAAAUAAAAGAAGAGAAGAGUAAAAUGAUGUAUAAUGGGUGAGUAUAACAAUGCUUUGCAUAUCUCGUGUAUAAUGUGUUGGCGUAAGCUUGAACAAGAAGUUAACUUAAGCGAGAAGUUAUCCUCAUCUAACCGAGUUAUGGAAUUAGGAAUAGGAAGUUUAGGAGUUAUCUAGACUUGUAUUAUUCCCUAUUUAGAUUAGGAUAAUGAUGAUGAUCUUUUCUAUAUAUAUGAGUUACCAAGGUGUGGUAAACCAUAAGAGAGAUUAGAGAGAUCUUGAGGGCUUUAGUUUUUGAGUAAGUUUUCUAAAGCAUUAAUAAAGAGAGGAAUUCUUUAUUUGAGUCUCAAGUUCUUAAUAAUCUUGCAAACUAGAUAAUGAGUGUUGAUGUUAGCUUUUGUACUACUUUUUUCAAUUAAAAAAAUCAGAAAAAACUUAUCUUCUAUCAAGUGCGUAUUUCAAUAAAACCACAGGAUAUGGAGAGGGGUUGGUUUUCAAAGCGGUUUAUGACCAUUUUUUGUUUUAAAACCGCAAAUGUUUUUUUUCAUUAACCGCAAAUCUAGAUAAAAAAAGUUGAUUGUUGUCAAAAAUGUGGUUUUCUAUUUUCUAUCUUAAAAUCCGCAAAUGUUAGAUUACCAUUCAUGGCCUUAUUAUGCAUAGCAUCUUUUAAGAGGAUGUCCAGUGGUAGAGAUACUUAUUUAGAGCAUCUCCAGCGGUGAUGCUAUUGAGAGGUACUCAAAAGUUAAAUUAAUUAAAAAAAGAAAUUUGGAGAGAGAAAGACCUUUCGUUGCUCAAUAUAGCAACUCUAGAAACGGUACUAACAUUAUUUUGUACACAUAUCUCUUUCUUGAUUUUUUGGUUCACAAAAAAAAAUAAAAAAUAUAUAUAUAUAAUUAAAAUAAUAUAUACAUAUUUAUAUAUAUAUAUAUAUGUAUAUAUACAAUUUUCUAGUUACUCUACCGAUAGAGUUGGUUUUAGAGUUUUUAGUGAUAUUAUAUUAAUAUUUUUAAUAAAUUUAGUUAUAUAUUUAUAUUUAAAGUUUAAAUAAAUGAGACAUGUAUCCCAUAAUGGUACUUGUUUAAGAAAUAUCAAUGUGUCUCUCUUGUUUUAUUUUUUAUUUUUAUUUUAUUUUUAAAUAGGUAUAAUACUUUGGGAUUAUUAUAUGUUUUGUCUUUUAUAUAAGCAAAACAAUUAAGAGUGCCACAAUGUCAAAAAAAAAAAGUUAAGACUGCCACUUUCAAUAACUUAUUUUAUGCAGUGCCAUAUUGUGUGGGAAAUGCAUGAGCGUAAUGACACAACUAUCCAUUGUCAGAUGGAGAGGUUUUUGCGCAUGGUUCAAAAAAUUGAGUUUGAUGGGACAUUUGUUUUGCAGCUACAUAGAGCAUUAAAUGGUGACAAUUGAGGAUCCAGAGGACAAACGAUUUAUUGGGUAAUUAGAGAGUUAAUUGAACCACAAAAAGAAUAUCUAAGUUUUGUUAAUGGAGGACAAGCAAGAGAGAGGAUUUCUGGAAGUGGUGAAUGCUGAAAAAGGAGAACUAGAUUAAUCUUUGGUGUGUCGAUGGACAAUACCAGACCUUAUAUCAGGACCCGAAUUUUUUUCCUGCGCCACGGAACAUAUAGACGAUCUGUGGAGGACAAAAAACAAAAAUAAACAUUGAUGGACGGAAAGUAAAUAACAAACAAGAGUUUAUCACAAAAGACGACUUAGAAAUAAUGGACGAGUAAGACCGAGACAUCUGGCCCACCAGAAUAUGAUAAAAGGAAAUAAGUAAAUAUUAAUAGACAAUAUAGUAAUGGACAAUAUAGUAGAAUGGACGAGUUUGAAUCGAUUACGUCUAUGAAAAACUUACUCUUUGGUGUGUUGAUGGACAACACCAGAUCUUGUCUCAAGACCCGAAUUUUUGUCCUACGCCACGGAACGAAUAGACGGUCUAUGGAGGCAAAAACAAAAAUAAACAUCGAUGGACGGGAAGUAAAUAGGAAACAAGAGUUUAUCACAAAAGACGAUUUAGAAAUAAUGAACGAGUAAGACCGAGAGAUCUGGUCUACCAGAAUAUGUUGAAAGAAAAAAGUUAAUAUCAAUAGACAAUAUAGUAAGAAUUAAAUAAUUGCGAAUAUAUUUCGUCCAUCUGAAAAUUACUCUUAUGGUUUUUGUGAUAUUUACCUUUUUCCUGAUGUGGUUACGGCGUGAUCCCCUCCUGAUGUGCAUCUCUAUUGACCAGAAUCAAUGGUUCUUCCGUUUUCAUGAACAGCGCCUGGACGGAGCCGUGUUCUCGACGGUGGUGGCAGUGAAACGAUUCUGGGCAACCAUUAGGUUAGAGAAAGGAAUCAGCUAUGUAGUAAAAGGUCGUUGAAGAAGUUGUUUAACAAAAAAAAAUAGAAAGGGUGAGUUGUUUGUCCAUCAGAUAAUACUUUGUUGCUGUGCAUCCGACAUAUAGAGGAGAGAAAACUGAAAGUUGAGUUUUUGGAGAAUAAAAAACACUUUAUGUCGCUUCAGUUCUAUUAAGCUCUUUGGGUUUUGCAGAUUGAUUUAAGAGAGGGGUAAACCAACCUUUCUUACAACAUGCUCUGGCAGGCGGGAGAAGCCCAUUAAAUAAGUGGCAAUUCAAAGAAAUUUUGUCAUUUUACAUGGCAUUGUUUACAAUUUUCUGUAAUACUUUCUCCGACCACCUCCACUCGUGAGAAGUAUUAAAAAGAAGAAAAAAAUAUAUACUUUUUUAUUUUUAUUUUAUUACUUCAACUCCUGAAAAAUUGGCAUAUGUCGCAUUUUAUUUUACUACCGCUGCUAAGAUCACCUCCACUCGUGAGAGGUAAUAAAAAGAAGAAAAAAUGUUAUUUUCUUAAAAAGAAAAGAUUUUAUUACUUCAACUCUUGAAAAAUUGCCAUCUGUCCCAUUUUAUUUUAGUACCGUUGGUAAUGGUACCAUUUUAAGAAACAUUUUUUAUCUCUCUCUUUAAUUUUGUCAUUUUUUAUUAAUUUAUUUUAUUUAAAGUCUCCUUUGAAGUUUUUUACUGGACAUGCUUAGCACCUCGAUAAGCAUCAUUGUUAGAAAGGGUCUAACACCAUCUCCAAUGGUUGAACCUCUCAUGGGAUGUUUAACCAUUUUUUAUGUUUAAAUUUUGGUUUUUCAAAAUUUAAGAGUUUCACCAAUUUUUUUCUCUCCAAUGGUAGAAUUCUUAGUUAGGUUCAUAAGAUUUUUUAUUUUUUUUAGUUUUGUAAAACAAAUGUAUUAAGCAACAAUUUGUCUCGACAUCACCCACUAUGAUUCUCCGAAUACAAAUGGUAGUGUGUAUGCCAACAAUUUGUCUCGACAUCACUAUGCCUUUGUAAAUAGAUAGCCCACAUCUAUUCUCAAAACUUCUUGUAAAGCGAAUCACCAUAUCCCACCAAUAUAAACAAAACAACGAUUCAAUGCAUACCAAAGAGCCUUCGAAAACAUCAACAACUUACCAAUUUGAUUUCUAAAAUAUCUCCUAAACUGAUUUCUGGAACAAGUAUCACUUUCUCUGAAACCUCAAUUGCUUUCUUUUUCAAUUUCUACAAAAAUCAGAUAAUAACACUGAAUCUCCCCAAUCCAUGUAAGGUAAAAUACAAAUCAAGAAAGCAAGUCCCUCAAGCUCAACACAUAACACUAUUUUCACUAAUUGAUGCCAUCCUUUUCAAAAUCAAAAGCAUAAAAUAAGACAAGUCACAAGUAAAAACAAUAACAAAUUAUCAAAUUCACCAACUUAGAAACCACAAAAUCAAAUUCACCAAUUGGGAGAAGAAACCCUAGAAUUAGAUCAUAUAUUUCAUCAUCUAAAAUGAAUUCAUACCCCUCAGAAUCACAAAAACAAACGCAUUCACUUGAUUCUACAAAACCCAGCAACAAAGUGAGAUCAACAAAGAGGAGAGUCUCUUCAAAAAAGGAGAAAGAAAAGUGUCACCUCGGAGAAGAAGAAGAAGAAAAUAUGUUUUUUCUUCUUUUUUUUUAAAGAUUAUUAAUAGUCAUCUGCCACAUCACCCUUAAGAAGAAGAAGAAGGCACCAAAAAAUCAGAAGGGAAUCUGGGCCUUUUGUGUCUGGUUGGCUGGUCACGAUCGAGUAUCAACGGGGGAUCAUAUGCUACGCUGGGAUCGGGGAAUCUCGGGACUGUGUCGCCUCUGCCAGCAAUGUGUAGAGACAAGGGAUCAUUUAUUCUUUGGUUGCGACUACACUUCGGAAAUCUGGGCCUCUAUAGCUAAGGGUCUACUACGGUCGCACCACACAACCAGCUGGCCAGUUCUACUCCAGUUGGUCUCUUCACACCAGCAAGACUGCACUCACACUUUUCUCCUUCGAUAUGCUUUCCAAACCACCGUCUAUGCGGUCUGGCGAGAGAGGAAUGGAAGACAUCAUGGAGAACCUUCAAAACCAGGUUCUCAACUUACUCUCUGGAUCGACAAGCACAUAAGAGAUCGACUAUCUUCUAUUCGGAUGGCGGGCGAUAGACGUUACGAUGAGGGACUUCAAGCGUGGUUCCGGUCUCGACAAUGAUCUUUCAUAGUUGCAAAUUUAAAUCUGUUUUCUAAAGUUUUAAGUUUAAAAAACCGUUGCACUAGUUGUACAAACGUUUAUUUUUCUUUUGAAUAUAAUUUAACAUUAAAUUCAAAAAAAAAAAAAAGCAGAAGGGAAAGAAGGAUGGAAAAGAAGAUGGGACAGUUAAACUUGGAAGGCAAGGAAGAAUCAUGCAUUGUAGUAAGUGUGCUGAAGCUGGACAUAAUUCAGCUGGAUGUGUUAAGUUUCCAAAGGAGAAAAAGAGUAAAAAGAGUGAGACAAGUACCAAGAGUACGAUAAAUAAGGAGAAGAAAAAUCUUGAUGAGGCUGGUCCUUCUACAUUUCAAGCACGAGAGACAGUCACACUCUCACAAGGACCAGAAACACUCUCACAAGGAAGCACUAUCUAGGUUGUCAUAGCAGGUUUAGGAAGAAAGGGUUGUGAGAAGUAACUUGCAUGUUUUUGUUUGGUUUUAGGAGUUAUUGCAGGUUUUUGUUUUGUCAAUUAUUAUGUUAUUUUGACAAAUUUUUAGGCAGUUUUGAAUUUAUGUUUAGUUGGAUGAAUGCUAUUUCAUUAACACACGUUCGUUUCUCAUUAAGAAUUUUUUUCAUAUUUCAUUAGGAGUUUUCUUUCUAGCAUUCUGAUUUCAAAACUACAUUACCCAUGCCCGUUUCAAUCAUAUUUUUCUGCAAUUAGUCAUAUUCUAAAACCAGUCUGCAAUUAGUCAUAUUCUCUCUCUCUCUCUCUCUCUCUCUCUCUCUCUCUCUCUCUCUCUCUCUCUCUCUCUCUCUCUCUCUCUCUCUCUCUCUCUCUCCUGAAAAAGGCGACGGGACGAUUGUUCAGCCAAUUCCCCCGCAAAACCUAGUUCCAAGCUCAUCAAACGUUAAACCAUAGUCCAAAGCUUCGAUCGAAGUCCCGAUAAAAUCAACUAAUCAGUGCUCAGAUCUUGAGAGUCUUAAUUCCAAGGUAAUAUUAAUCUUCCACUAGAUGCAAUCUAAGAUAAGCGAUUACCAAAAAAAAAAAAAUCUAAGAUAAGCUUAUUUUGAUUUGGAUAUAAAGUUUAGGAUUUGUUUGUGUUUUAGUUUGUUUAAUUGAAGAAUCAGAGUGGUAAUCUGAAGUUAAGGAGAAAGAAAUCCGAGAAUUCUAGGUAGAUUUAGGUUAUGAUUACGAAAGCUAGUCUUGAUUUUGAAUUGUUUCUCAACAUCAAUUUUAUUUUUCUGCAUCGUUCUUUGUUUAUUCUUGUGAUUCCCUUCGAUAUAUGUGUGAUGUGUAAUAUUGGUUUUGGAUUGAUACAACUAAACAUGUGCAAAUGGAAUACUUCUAUGGUAAUAUACUAAUUUGUACUUCUAAGUUCUAUCUGAGCAUUAGUACAUUUGGUAUCUUGAUUUUGAUAUGUUCUCCCUCUUUCCUUUUUGUGUAUAGUGAGCUUAUAAAUAUAGUAGUUCCUGGGAGACUAGAUAAAAGAGCGAUAACCACGAAGAGGGUACUUAACCCAUGGGAGAGAAAUGAGAAUCACACGCUCUGUCUUAAGUCUACAAAAGUUGUUGACUGCAGUGUGGUUAAUAUUGGGACUGAGGACUUGGCUGAAGGACGAGUAUGUUUUGCUUGCUUAGUUUCAGUUAAUCAUAAUAUACUAGGGACAUAUUUGACUAGAGGUUUUAUUGUUCCUACAACCACAUAUGUUGCUUGGAUCGAUCUCACAACUGCUCGUUGAUCUUCGUUUGAAAAAAUUAUCUUAGCUUGUUUUCCAAAUGAAUGAAUCAAUUAAUGUUUCAUUGUCUCUUUAACUUCAAAUUUAUGUAUAUGUAUUAAUAGAUAGAGCUUGAAGGAACAUGGUACAUAAGCUAAUGUAUACAAUACAAAGCAAGUGAUAUGUGUUGAUAGAUAGAGAAGUAUUAGAUUUUUUCAGUUCUCUUUCUCCCCAUCUCCUUUUUGUUAAGUUCUAUUUCUCUCCAAAAUAAUUUUAUAAGAACCUCUACUUACCAUUGGAGAUGGUCUUAAAGAACCUCUAAUGGGAGGCUCUUAAUGACUUUCUAAGUAUAAAAAUAUUAAGAAAAAAAAACUUAGAGAGAGAAGUGAUAGAUUGUUUCUAAAACACUUGUACACAUAUGUAUGGUUUGCUUUUUUAUUUUUUAACCAAAAUUUAAUUCAAUAAAUCUCAAAAUAAAAAACCUUAUCAUUGGUGAUGCUCUAACCAUUUUAAUUCGUCAUACUUUUAUUUGUGUCUUAAAAACUUAUUAACUCAAUAUUUGCAAAUUAGUACAUUUUUAAAACAUAAGACUACUUACAAUGGGCUGUUUAAAAAAAUAAUCAACAGCUUAAUAGGAUGCAAUGGUUCAUUGGAGAAAAAGAGAAGCUGAGACCAUCCACAACGGGAGAGCUCCAUUACGGGCUCUUACAAAUAUUUUAAGUAUAAUUUUGUAAAAGUUGAAGUUAGAGAUGGUGUUGGAGUUUAAAAAUUUGUACUACUCCAAUGAUAAGAGCUACGGGGUUUAUAUACAUUUAAAAAAAAAAAAAUCUUCGUCGUUGAAGCCUCACCUAAAAAGAGAGAAAAAAACUCGCAACAGUGUUAUAUUAAUCAACAAUCAGAACAAAUAGACGAAUCUAUCAACUUUUCAAAAUCUUAAGAACCAAACACAGAUGAACUAAUCCUGGAAAACUAGUUCCUUUGACAAAUAAAUAUCGAACAAUCAUAGUCUAACACUCCAAAUCUCCAAAUUUCCAGUUAGACAGAAAGAUAACAAAAGGUGCCAUUUUCAGUGCAAGAGAUAAAGACUCAAACAAAAACCAUGUUAUCAAUGAGAACCCAAAUAAAAAGAAUAACAAAAAAAAAGUUGUUCACUUUUGCUUCCUUAUUCUCCAUCGUUCUCCUUCUGGUUAUAUAUAGUCUGCAAUCUCAAUUGCUUCUUAAAAAGCUCAUAUUCCAAUUUCUCCUCUUUUUCAUUAGAGGAUUCAGAGCCGCCAGUGAGAAAGAGAAGAGAAAGGCUAAGAUUUUUUUUCUUUCUAACUAACCAUCCACUUAUACGACGCCACGUAACCGUCUCGUACCAUAACAAAAAUCUCCUAUUUAGGAGACGGUUCAUCAUUAACACCAAUUAAACAUUAAAUUUUUAUCACUUUUACUCUAAGGCCAACUCCACUAGAGAAACUCAUAAAAGUUGUUUAAAAAUAAACUACUCAAAAAAAUCUAUUAACAACUUUAAACAAAAUCACCCUUCCACUAGAGAACUCCUAUCAAGCGUACUAAAUCAUUAUAAUAGUAUUUUGUUAAUAGUUGUUAAUUGUAUAUGAAAUUUAAAUAAAUUAGCAAAUAAUUCAAAAAUAACACAACAAGUACUUAAAUAACCAAAAAGGGGAAUACGUCAAGGUGAUCCGUUGUCACCAUUUUUAUUUAUCCUAUGUGCUGAAGCAUUGGUUCAUAUUAUGAAAAAAAACAGAACAAGAAGUAAGGCUUACGGGUAUGCGUCUAACGCCGGAAUGUCCGUCUAUACAGCACUUGCUCUUUCCCGAUGACAGCUUAUUUUUGUGCCAAGCAAGUUUGAAGGAGUGUACUGAAUUUUUACAUUGUUUGGAUGUGUAUGGUAAAGCUUCAGGCCAAGUUAUUAAUUUCCAAAAGUCGUCUAUAACAUUUGGAAAAAGAUGGAUCCAUAUAUGAGACGUGUUAUAGGUGCUUUCACUGGAAUAGAACAAGUUGGAGACGGUGGGAAGUAUUUAGGCUUACCGGAAUGCUUUAGCGAGUCUAAACGGGAGCUGUUGGCUUUUAUCAAUGAUCGUUUGGACUCGAUAUUGAAGGGAUGGAAUGAGAAGACCUUAUUGCUGGGAGGGAAGGCGGUUUUAUUGAAAUCUGUAGCAUUAUCGAUGCCGGUGUAUGCUAUGUCGUGUUUCCGUCUUACUAAAGAUCAGUGUAAGAAGCUUACAAGUGCAAUGUCCAGUUUUUGGUGGAAUGCUACAGAAGACAAACAAAAGAUGCAUUGGGUGGCUUGGGAGAAGGUUUGUAAGUUGAAGUCUCAAGGUGGCUUGGGUUUUCGGGACAUUGGUCGCUUUAACCAAGCUCUUCUUGCAAAGCAAGCUUGGAGAUUAUUGGAUUCACCUCAAUCUCUGCUAGCUAGAGUAUAUAAGGCUCGAUAUUUCCCUAGAACAGAGUUUGUGGAAGCUAUGAUGGGAUCUAGGCCUUCUUAUGCUUGGCGUAGCAUUAUGUUUGGUAGAGAACUGCUAGAAAAAGGGUUGAUGAAGACGAUUGGGAAUGGUUGCUUUACACGGGUGUGGCUAGAGAAAUGGGUUUUUGAUGAUUCCCCUUGGAGACCAGUCAAUAAGAAUCAGUUUUAUGAUUUAAAUUUACAAGUCUCUGCCCUCAUUCGACCACAAGGUGAUUGGAAUGUUGAGCUUUUAAAUGAAUACUUUCCUCCUUGUGAUGUGGUUAAAAUAAGAACCUUCCCCCCGGAGAUAAGUUUACCUGAUAAACUUAUGUGGGGUUAUACUAAUGAUGGCCGUUACUCGGUGAAAAGUGGCUAUUGGUUACUUAAUAGAGACUUAUAUCACUUUGUGGAGGUGUCUGAGAAUAUUAAGCACGUCAAGACACUACCGAAGAUUCACAUAUUUCUCUGGAGAGUGCUCUCGGAUGCGUUAGCAGUAGCCUCUUGUAUGCGUUCUCAUGGCUUAAGUGUCAAUCAUAUUUGUCAACUCUGCCAUCAAGAGGAGGAGUCUGUCUCACAUGUCUUAUUUAGGUGCACUCUUGCAUCCCAAGUUUGGGGAGCAACCCAUCUUCCUUUGCCGAGUAAUGGUUUCAUUGCUUCAAUAGCAGAGAAUGUGGAAUUUAUGUUGGAUUUGGUAUCUAGAGUUGAUUUACCUCUUCCAAUGAGAAAUGCAAUUCCUUGGAUCCUUUGGGAGAUUUGGAAAGGAAGGAAUUCAGCUGUUUUUACCGCUAAGGUGCCACAUCAUGAUGUUGUAACUGCUGGUGCGAUAUCUGCCAUGGAGGAAUGGAUGUGUCAACAACAUUUGCAGAACCAAGAUGAUGUUUGGUCUGGCCCUCAUCCGAGUGUGCUUUCAAGAAGGUGGUUGCGGCCAGCUGAAGGUGUUUUGAAAUGUAACCUUCAUGCAUCAUGGAGAAAUGCCUCUGGUUUUUGUGGAGAAGCAUGGAUUCUGCGGAAUUCUGUUGGUGAUGUGCUGUUCCAUGCGCGGGAUGCUUUCUUACCAAUGGUUAAUAGCAUAGCAGCGGAACUGCAUUGUAUUUAUUGGUGUCUGACAAGCCUCAAAGAUAUCAGAAUCGCAAGUUGUGAGGUUUGGACGGAUUGUAACGCGGUAGUUUUGGCGUUAGAGAAGCCUAUGGAGUGGCCUAAAUACCGUUCGUUACUGCUCAAAGUGCAGCAAGCUCAACAACGGUUUCAAGGAGUAUCCUUUCACCUUUCUUCUUCGCAAGCGAACUCGGUAGCACGUGACAUUGCAGGUAGUGUUACGAGAGAUGGCCGGCUCACUUCAUAUUUAUCCUUGGGAGGACCGGCGUGGUCACAUCAGCGCAUUCAAAGGGACCGGUGUUAGCUUGUUUUUGAUUAAUUAUCUAUGAUUUUAUUAUGCUCUGUUUUUAUUCCUUCCUCUGUCCCUGCAACUUUUAACAAUAAAGAUGACAAUUAAAAAAAAAAGUACUUAAAUUACUUAUAGGGUGUGUUGGCAAACUAGUACGUUUUUGAAACAUAAUUAUAAAUAUAGUACAUUUACUAUUCACAAUUAGCAAAAUAGUACAAUUUUACUAUUUCAGAUAUCUUUACAGACAGACAACUGUACAGUAACAUAUCAUUGUACAUCAAAUAUUUGUACAAAGAAAAACAACUACAUAUAAACAUAUUUACACAUAAACAAAUAUACAUAUAUAGACCAGAAAAUAUCUGUACACGUACAAUUAUACGUAUAUAUAGACCGCUGUACGGAUAAUUUUCCGUAUAUCGACACACUACUGUACAUAAGGAUAGCUGGACGUAUCAAAAUUUAUUUGAAAAAUAUUUGAAAUUAUAUUUAAAAAAAUGCAUAUCAAAUUAUAGAGAAAAAAUAUAGAUUUUUAUGUAAUUGAAAUUUUAUAGAAAACAAAUAUAUUUUGAUGAAUAUUUUUAGUUAUUAGAUUUAAGGGGGUUUUUAAUAGGUUCUAAAUAGUGUCCAAAUAGUAAAAAUGUAUUAGUUUGCUAAUAAUGAAUAGUAAAUGUACUACUUCUACAAUUAUGUUUCAAAAAUGUACUCAAAACCCAAUUAAUUCUUACUUAUAUUACAUUAAAAAUUUUUAAAAAAAAAUUUACAUAAUUCAGAAAUUUAAACCUCAUGUGCUAAGUCAGUUUGUCGAGGUCGAACAAACGAUCAAAACACUUCUUCUGAAAAAGGUUUAUAACAUUCAUAGAAAUCCCAUUUCGAACUUCAUAGUGAUGAUGAUCUAUUUGUUGGACAGAUAAAAUACUUGCUUUCACAACACGGUCGUGAUAGAGUUCAACCAUGAAAGAUAUAAAAUUUUAUAAUUUGUAAUCCACCGUAUUCACAAAUGUACAAUUCAAUCGUACUUGUACCAGCUUCUCAACACCUUUAGUAAGGACUAUAGUCAUCAUACGAGGUUGGAUUCGCCUUGCAGGAGACCAUCGUGCAAUAUCAACCUUAUCUUGGCCACAAAUAUAUAAAAUAACAUGGGUCAUCAAAAGGACAUUUAAAUCAAUAGCACAUAGGAAGAGGACGAUAUUAAAGAAAGGAUGAGACGUGAGAAGAUCAAGUACCAUGAUGAAUGUAUCAACAUAACAUUACAUGGGCUUUAAGAUAUGUAUUAAAACAUAUCACAACGAGAAACAAGAACACUAAAGCAAGCUUUAACGUACGAAGGUAUCACUAGAUACGUUUAACUUUGUAAACCAUUGUUGAAAAAAGACACAACCCUAUCCAUUUCAUUCUUCUUCAGACACAUUCCAAUCUCCACACCACCUGAUCCCUCACAUCUCUCAGCCAUAGAGAACGCUUCUGCUUGAUCAAUGGAAACAACAUCAACCUUAACGGGUCUUCCCCACCCAAAAUCCGACUCGUAUAUUCCCAACCGGGUUGACCCGGCUAUUGCACCAAACUGUGUGCUCCCUUUUAGAAAAUAGAAACUGUCGGCAAACUCCUUCACGAUCAUCUCUUUCUUUCUUGAACUCAACUCUUUGACCAAACCACUAAGUAUCUCAACCGCCGUAACAAACCCUUUCUCUCCCAUAAACUCCGACGCCUUACGGUUGUAACAACCCACCGGAAACUGUAUGUUUCCGAAGUAAGUCGCCGGAAGUUUCGGAUCCAAACGUUCUCUAAAAUCUCCGACAAAUAGUAAACUCACUAACCUCUCUCCAUGUCCUCCACGUGCCAUUACGAAGCAUGUCCACGUGUAAGCGUAAGCAAUGACAAAAGUAGACAAGUGGAGGCUUUGUGACACGUUCUUGACUUGUUCUUUAAGUCUUUCCACGUCAUCUUUAGAGAGUACGAGCGUGGCCAAGACUACGUCAUCUCCGAGUACUCUUUUGGGAAACGGAGUCAAGCUUCUGAUGUUGGUUUUGUCCUUUUUGUUAGAUCUCACCGUAUCGAUCAUCUUCUCAUCGAGUCCGGUUAAGUCUUUUAACAAAGACCGAUCAUAAGAAGGAGUUAGAUUCUCUGGUAGAGAGAUUACGUUAUCGAGUUGUUGUUUGCAUAUGUGAGCCCAAGCUUUCAUAAACAUGCUUGCCGUUUUCCCGUCUAAAACGGCGUGGUGUCCUGCGACGCCUAUGGAGAUUCCUUGGUUCGGGAACAACGUGAUUUGUAUGGAGAAGGCAGUGGCUGAGUCAUCAGUAACUGGUAACUUGGGAAGCAAGGCAUGUAACUCGGAGACAGGACGUUGUCCAUAGCCGGAGAUAUGAGAAAAGUCAGCUUCACUCUCGGCUAUAGUCACCAAAACGGCGUCGUUUGGUGCGACAACGAUGCUUGGUUUGGAUUCGUUUGGAUCCCAAGUGAUGUGGCCGGUGAGAGGGAAGUAGUUGUGGAGGACAAGGGAGAGAGAGAGCUUGAGCUUAGGGAGGAUAAUGGAGAUGAAGUUCUCAUGGGUUGACUCGGUGAGUUUGUAGAAGAAGACUCGUUUGACGGGGUGGAACAGUAGCCAUGGUAGGUCGAAGAAAGUUAAAGGAAGGGAGAACGAGUUGGCUGAGUUGAGAACAGAGUCUGAGUCGGCGGCAGGGGUGACUCGGGUAAUGUCAAUGAUGUGUAGCGUCAUCGUGAAGAAGAAAGUGAAAAAGAGUGAUUGAAGUUAUCAACUGCAAACCAAUAAUGGAUCUCAUCAAUAUAGUUUUAGUAUAUAUUUAUGUUCAAAUUUUAGGAAAUUAUUAUUUAGGUACAGAAUGUUACGUGAUUAUGAUGUUUGUUUGUCUCUUUAGGACACACGUACACGAAGUAAUGACAUAUGUUUUCGUGGUAUUAUUUGUCAGGUUUGAUAUGAUUAGUAGGUGGGAGUGAUUGGUUUACAUGUUCCAUGUUUAGUAUUAUUGCCGUAGUGGUUUAGCUUUUGUCUUUAUUGAAAACUUAUUUAAUUAAUUUAGUAAUGUACUAUCUUGAAAAGUUAAAAGGGAAAUUGCAUUCUAUAUAUCCAGUUGACCAGUUGAUUAAGUAUAUGUCACUCUUUUUUUUAUAAUUAGCUCUAUUUUUAAGGACAAUUUUAGUCUUGGAAUAUUUAGUUAACUGAUAACUGAAUUAGCAUAAUAAAUUUAAACUUAUAAAUAUAUAUAAUAUGUUAUCGUGGUAAUUCAGUUCAAUAAAUAAAUAAUAAUAACAUAAAAACUUAUCAGAUAACUAUACAUUUAACACACUAUAUAUGAUGUCAAAAAUAGCAAAAGCAAGAAAAAAUGAAGUAAUGAUGGAAAAAUUGGAAACAAAACGAUGAUGUGGAUGAAGAUAUUUCCAAGGUGGUGUUCAUUGGAAGGAAAAGAGGUGACACUUUUAGCGAUGGUUUUACUCGUGGUGGUGGUGACGAUGAUACUGACGGUAAAGUUUGAUAUGUGUCAAUAGUUACGAAAACAAAAUUUGUAUACCCUUUAAUAAUACAUGGUUAAAUAUAUUUUUGAGGUUUAGAUUUUAUAAUUAAAACAAAAUUAUAUAUCAGUUUGGGUUUAUAAAUAGAUCUUAGGGUUUAGAUAUUACAAUUAAAUUGCAUACUAAUAUGUCAGUUUGGGUUUAUAAAUGAGUGGUUAGGGUUUAGAUUUUACAAUUAAAACAAAAUUAUAUGUCGGUUUGGGUUUAUAAAGGAGUGGUUAGGGUUUAGAUUUUACAAUUAAAACAAAAUUAUAUGUCGGCUUGGGUUUAUAAAGGAGUGGCUAGAGUUUAGAUUUUAUAAUUAAAACGAAAUUAUAUAUCGGUUUGGGUUGAUAAAAUAGUGGUUAUAUAUGUACAAAUUUUGUUAACACGGUAAAUAUAAAUGUAUCACAUAAAUCAUAAUUUAUCGCGAUACAAAACAUUUUGACACGAUAUAUUUAUAAACUUAUAUGUAUAUAUAUAUAUUGUUAUCAAGGUAAUUCAAUAGUUAUUCACCUAACUUAUAACAUGAUUUUACUUAUGUAUUUGAUAAAUAGUACUGUUGAUACUUAUAUCAUUAUCACGUUAAAUAAUUUGUUAGAUGCAAAAAGAUUUUUUUGUCCACUUAUACAAAUUGAGGAGAGAGAACUAAUUAUACAUUUAAUAAUGCUAUAUUCUUAAUUUGUUGGUCAACUGAGUAUAGAAGUUUAAUUUACCCAAAGUUAAAAUAGUAUCUUGCAUAUCUAUAUAUAUAAAGUUAGUUUUUUCUCUCUUCUCAUGAUGCCACCUAAGCAUCCACAUAAGCCACAUUUCUUUUACAUUAAAAUAAUUUUAAAACAUUCAUUUAGUGCAUAUUUAUGCUACUUAUUUAAUUAAUAGAAAAUUUAUAUAAAUAAAAAUAAUUUAUGUAAAUAAAUGAAAUGUUAAAUAAGAAAUACUUUCAUUAUUUAUUAGUUAGUAGUAAUAAUAUAAUUCAAAUUUCAUUUUAAAUUGAUCAUAGUUUAAAAUUUUAAAUGUGUUACUGAGUUUAAGAAUGUAAGUAAAUUUUAAAUUUAUGGUAGAAUAAAAACAACAUUUAUGUAAUUGUAUAUAUAAAUUUUUAAAGGGGAAAAAUAAAAUUGAAAGUGAAAUAUUAGUUUAUAACAUGAUCAAAAAGAAAAUGCUUUUAAUCCAAAUUUAAAUAUUGAAAGAUAAUAAUUCAAGAGAAAAUAACUAUAAUAUGUUUUGAAAAUCAAUUAAAAUAAUUAAAAGAUCACAAUAUAAAUUAAAAAAUUAACAAAAAAAUUAUAAACCUCCUGCGCGUAGCGUGGGUCAACUGCUAGUUUUAAAUAAAGCAUGGAUGGGGUUGGCUAUAAUCAUUCACAACAUGUCUUGGCUUUAAAUAUUUGGGCGAUUCUCGUUCAUAACACCAAAACAAGUUUUGUUUUCAAAUCAACUUUAUCACACACUACACAAAAUUCUAAAAUAGCAUUAUAUUUCAUAAUUAAAUUUUCAAAAUUAAUUCUCAAAUUCUAAAUACUAAACCGUACUUCCUAUAAACUAUUUUAUAUAUUUUAUUUAGAGAUGUUCAAAUGAUACUUGUAGAUGAAUGUGUUACUUUUUGGAAAUUUUAGAGAAAAUAAAAUUUUGGGUGUGUUAAUAUAGGAACGAAUUUAGAUGUUUGAGUUGGUUACAAAAUAUCUUGGGAAGAUACCAAAUCAUAUGAUGACCAGAACCAAACCAUGAUGAGUAAAGAAAAAUAUGAAAUUUUAACCUCAUUUUACUUUCCCUAAAAUUGUCACAACUCACAACCAAAACAAGAAAUUCAAAUAUACCAUGAGAAAAGUAAAUGGCUUUUGUUCCUCUAAAAGAAAAAGAUGUUUUUGUGAUUGAGGUUCGGAGAAGAUCGGGUAAAAUCUCGUGGCCAAAUAGAGAUAUUUAGUAAUUUUAUGCUUGAGCAGAAUCGAUCUCUUGCCUACACCAACAAAACAAUUCUUCUCUCAAACGAAAACCACUAGACCAAAGACCAUUUGGUUUUCUCGUCUCGUUAUGAAGCAGUGAACGCAUGGUUUUGGUGGUUAAUCUUAGAAGUAUUAUUAUCAGUGAAUGAUUAGUUGUAUUAGGUACGAUCGAUUGGCACAUGUUUCACAUAUUAGUUUGAUUGUCAGCCGCAGUUCAAACCGUAACCUUAUUCUGUUGUCUUGUCCUUAAACAACAGACACGUACUGUAUAUGGUUGCCUGGCUGUAGUAGUCACUACUGAUAGUCUGAUAAUAUGCCUGGUCUAAAUUGUUUCACCCAAUUAAUUGUCAUCAGUAAUUUUCAUCAGCACAUUAAAGAUAUGUAUUUCUUUAUACUUUAUAGAGUACUUCUUAGGUUAAUUAUUUAGCAGUCUUGUUUUGCAAGAAACGUACCUAGUUGGGUUAGUUUUAAUUGUAAUCUAAAACACAUAUCUUGACGUUAAUAAAAGUUUAACAAACAUAGGAACAAACCAAGACCUCAAUGAUGCGGACAUCAGAACUAUAUCAAACCAAGAGCACAACAAACCGGUCUACAUGGAGAAUCUUGGAGAAUCUUUGUCUAAAUGGAGCUUUGAUCAAGUAAAAGACGAAGGGUUAAUUAUUCACCAUGAUAUUAACCCUAAGAAGUCCGACAGUUCAAGAGGGAUCAAAAAUCAGCAAGUCAAAUCACCUUAUUAUUGGGAUAUGGCUGUUGCACUCUUUUUCCCUUAUCUAGGGUUUGUCCCAAUGGGUUUACCUAGAAAGGUUUUUAAUGAGGCAACACCAAGUCAUCAAGGAAUCAUUCACCAUCCAUAUGAUUCAAAGAUGAUAGCUGAUGUACAUUCUGAUCUACUCGCGGACAAGCAUGCUGAACUACUCGCUGACAAGCAUGCUGAACUACUCGCUGACAAGCAUGCUGAACUACUCGCUGACCGACUGCCUGAACUACUCGCUGACCGACUACCUGAACUACAUCAGAUUGCGAGCUUUGAGGAUUUGAAGUCUUUUAACACUUGGAUCAGCCAUGAAGGGAGUCCACACAUUCAUUUGAUUCACCAAAAGGCCCCAGCCCAUGGAGAACAGCCCAAGAGAAGACCCAAGUCUAAACCACCAUUUGAAUCAAGGCGAUUGAUCUACUUGGAGCAAGAUAAGGAAAAUCUCCUUUACCUUCAUAUGGACGUGUCUCAAAGCUACAUAUGGAAACCAGGAGAACCUCUAAAGCCACCAGAGAAUAUUUGGAGUAUAUUCACACACAAUNNNNNNNNNNNNNNNNNNNNNNNNNNNNNNNNNNNNNNNNNNNNNNNNNNNNNNNNNNNNNNNNNNNNNNNNNNNNNNNNNNNNNNNNNNNNNNNNNNNNACUCGCCUUUUCCGGACUCGAUUGUCAUCAAGGCACAACGACUCUUGCCUAUUAAGUUCAUGUGUGUGAUACAGCAUCUCCAAGUGCAUAAGAAGCUUCCAAAACGUCACUAUUACCUUCCCAAGUUGACGAGAUACAAGGCACACCUCACUUGCCUUAUUUGGACCGAUUCUACACUUAAUGUUCCAACAUCCAUAUUUUCAUUAAUUGUUGCGAUUUGUAUCUUCUUUCUAGGUUUAGAACGUGUGUACUCAGCCUAUAUAAGCUGAUCAUUAGUUUCAUUGUAAAAACACCCUUGAUCAAUAUAAAGUUAUAGAAAGUUUUCUUCUUGUCAAAGUUUGAGUCUUUGUCAAUCUUGUUCUUUAGUUCUUUGUGAGUGAGUCACUUAGUGCUUUAGAAACCUGCGGAUUAAGUUUGUUGAGUGAUUCAACACCUUCAUUCGUCCAUUGAUCGAGUGAGUCGAUUACCCCACUGAUUGAGCGAGUCAAUCACCUGAACUAUCCCCUGAACCACCCACUGAUUCACGAGAGAGUGCUUCUGGCCAGCUCGUGAAUUCCACCUUCCGCAAGCUAAGCUUGGAAUCUCUUGAUCAUCAAGUGAUCUAAAGUUUGGAGUGAUUCCAAUCUUGCAUCACUCAAUUCAUAAUUACAGAUUGGUUCGAAUGGUUUAUGUGUUAGAGACUUGAAUCGUUAUAGCAUCUACAAAACAUUUCCAUAUAAAAAAAAAUCUCAUAAAAUCUAGAAUCUCAUAUUUUCAUAUCCAAGAUCAUAGAGAACCAUUUAUAAACCAUUUUGAUAUAAAGAAAGAAGAAAAUAUUAUAUAUUAUGCCAUGUACAGUAACAAUUUUUGUAUGGAUUGCCAUUUUUUUCAUGGGAUUCUCCCGCCUGCCACAGCCCAUAGAUAAAAAAGACAUAUUUGCCCAUCUUUUUAAUUAACCCUGAAAAACCAAAAUAUAGUUUGCAACUGCAACACAUAAAAUUUUUCUCUCUCAAUAACGUAACCUUUCAAGUUUCUCUCCCCUACCCGUUGAUUCACAGUAACAACAACGAAGCAUUCUUCAAUGGUUAGAUAAUUCAUCCUUUCUUAAUAUUUUUGUUAAACAAGUUCUCCAACCCCUUUCUACCACCAAAGCGAUUCCUUUCCCUAACCUAAUGGCUGACCAGAAUCUUUCCAUCGCCAUCACUAUUGAAGACACCGCUUCCUAUGGCGGAACAGCCACUGGCAACAUAGAAGUGAACACCCCCAGAAGCCGUUCGCAAAACCGCUGGAACCAUUAAUUCCGGCCAAAGGAAAUCCCUGUUGAUGUAAGUUUUGAUGGACCAGAUCUAUACCAAAUUGUGUCUAUGAGGUUUUUGGUCUAUUGUAAGUCAUCCUCUAACAAUCAGUUUACAGAUUGUCCAUCGGAUCUACAUAACAAAACUGUCCAUCAGUAAGUCCAAUAGACAACCUUCCGCAGGACAAAGUUGUUGAUCCAGUAGACAACCCUCCUCAGCCCAGGUAAACUAUAUAGACCAUUUAUAUUUUUGUUGGAAGCUCUACCAUUUUUCCUUUCCAUUUUCUGUUUAUUGAUGGACAAAAUUUGUUAUUUAGGACCUCUGUAGACAACGUAGCAGAAGACACUAAUGGACCAGAUCCGAUGGACUAGAUUCGUUAGACCAUAUCCCAUGGACUAGAUCCCGUGGACCAGAUCCAAUGUCUGUAAUAUGUCCAUAUUUUGUUUCCUAACUUGUUGUACAUCGUACGUAUAUAGAAAACUAAGUCUAUUUUUUUUUAUAAACGAACUUGUCUAUAAUAUAUAUGUUAGUGUGGUAAUAAUGUUGUGUAGUGAAAAAGACCAACCAAUAAUGAUGGACGAUACUUGUAUCUAUCUUGUCUGUUGUAAUUAAGCUGCAACACUCGAAAAUCUCUUCUCCUUCUUUAGCCAAUAAUGAUGGACGAUAUUUGCACUAAUUUUUAGUAUCUAUCUUUCCGCCGUAUUCAGUUGUCCUCUGGAUAUUAAGCUACAUCCCAGCUAUAAAAUGCAACUGUUUGCUCACGCAAACAUGCCCCAUCUUGUAUUAUUUUUUGAACCCAGUGCAAUUUUGUUCUCAUUUGGCGAGGACAAUAAAAUCUUUUUUCUCUGCAUUAAAAAAGUAAUAUUGCACUGCAGAAAAUAGAUUGGAGAAAAUGGCAGUAUCAGUUUUUUGAGUUUCAUAAAUGAUUGUAAUGCCCGUGUUCUGGAAAUUAAUAUGAGACUUGAAUGUGUAUAAGAAUUAGGGUGGAGUCGGUUUGAUUCUGGUGGAUUUCCUAAUCUGGUCGAUUUGUUUAAUUGAAUCAAAGAAGGUUUAAUUAAUGUCGGUUUAGGUAAACCCUGAUUUAAUCAAAAUUAAACCAAAAACCCUAGUUUUAUAAAGAACACUUCAUUCUCUCUUUUGUUUUGUUGUUGUUGUUUCUGAGAGUUGAGUUGAGAAAAAGAGAAGGAGAAGUUCACUUGUGAGAAGGAGAGGGUUAGCUUUGCUUUGGUGUUUAAGGCAAGAGAAGCAGAUUCGUCACGUCCUGGUAGAAUAGAGUUACGACGUAUCAAAUCUUAUCGAAAGGUAAUGAAUUUUGGUAGGUUUGUUCUUAAGGCGUGUACGUUGAUUCUCCUUUUUACAGAAGUGAAUUCAGAUUAAUACUCAGUGAGUUAUAUGCAGUGUGGUGAGACGCGUUUUCUCUGUUGCGAACUAGGAUCAGCGGAGUUUGUAAGUGCGAUCGUGGUUUCAUCCUUUCUCCGAUCGGCACCAAAUUUUUUGGGGAGCUUCGUGACGUCUGGAUCUUGCUUUUCACCAUAGGGAUUAAGAAGUUAUAUGCAGGUUGGUUUAUGUUUUAGGGCUUCGUUUCUGCGGCUGUAGUUUUUCUGGUGUUUCUGUCCCUUUGGUUCUUAAAGAUUUGUGUUUGUGUGGUUUGUUGUAUGGCGUUGUUUGGCUGUUGCAGUCGCGAGGAGAGUCUUUCCUGGUUGUUUUUGUUAUUCAAAUCACCUUGUUAAGGUGAGUGCGUGACCAUGAGCUUAUCUAAGCUAUUGGGAUUGAGUGACUUGUUGUGUGAUGAUUUGUAGGUGAACUUGAUGUGUUAUUGGAUGUUUAGCUUACUGGAUGGUUUGUUUUUGUUAUAUAUGUGGGUGUUAUCUCAUUGCUUGUGUGUAUAGCUCGUAGAUGGGAGGAUCGCCCUCACUAAGUAUUUAUACAAUACUUAUGCAUCUCUUUCUUUGAUGCAGGUAAAGGCAAAGUGUGAUCCGUGGAAUCAUGGCGAGGAGAGGAGGAUGAUCUAGGCGCUCAUUGGUGUUUUAGAUUAUUGUUGGAUUUGUUAGGUUAGAAUGGAAUUUAGAAACAUGUUAGGAUGAUCAUGUUUUGGAAUAAUGUUUGGUUGAACUUGAUGGUUUAAUGGAAUUGUUUUAUUGGAUUUUUGGUUAAGUCUUCCGCUGGUUAAUAUUGUUGGUUUACUUUAAUGAGAUUUCUUGGUUUAAUUGAUUUAAAUUAUUAUGGCCGGUUUAGCUGGUUUGAAUUAAUUGGGUUAAUCCGGUUUGCAUGUUUAAAAGAAAAAAAAUGGGAUGGGUUCUUUCAAUGACAUACACAACAAAAUUUCAUAGAAAGGAAUAUAUCCAUCUCACAUUUCUUCAAACACAAACCGAUAUCCACACCACCAGACUCAUCCUUCCUCUCCGACAUAGAAAUUGCCUCGUUACGGUCUAUGGACACAAUCUCACUAGUACAAGGUUUCCCCCACGCCCAAAAUCUGACCCGUAGAGACUAAACCUGUUCGAACCAGCAAUGGAACUUGUCAGUGUACCCGGUUUCACACUCUUUGUUCCAUCAAUGUACAAGUCACAAAUUGUUUCCAUUUCUUGUGAACCAAUACUUCUAACCGAAUCACUUAAAAUUUCGACUGCGUUGACAAAUCCAUCUUCUCUCAAAAAUACAUUCGCCUUGAAUACGUUCAUCUUUUAUUAGUAAAAUACAUUAAAAUCUAAAAUAACACAAAAUUAAAUAAAACUUGUUUUAAAUGUAUUUUAGAAUGCAUCACAAAAAUACAUAAUGCAAUAACACCAGAUUUUAAAGUACUUUUUCAAAUACACAAUUGAAUAAGUGAAAAUUAACUAGAUUAACAUAAAUUUGGGUAAAAAUAACUCAAUUAACACACAUUAGUAUCACAUUACUAGAUUGACAUAAAAUUUGUGUAAAAAGACCAAAAGCCCAAAUUAUUUUUUGAAUGAAGUUUUAUAUUUUAUAAAAUAAACAAAAAAAAUGUUAAUAAAUAAAUUAAAUAAAAAAAAACAAAAUAAAACAAAACAUAAAAAAAAAAAGAAUUAUUGGGACUUUGUAUCGGUAUUUGUCAAGAAAUGGCCAAGAACCCUAAUUUGAGUAUCGAUGAUUCCAUUUAGCUUCAGGCGCCGGAGUAAAUCUAGUUAUUUGGCUUCCGUCUAACGACUUCCGGAGUAAGUUAAUUUUCAGUUCUAUUAGAUUUAAGUUUUCAGUAAUUCAUUUAUUCAAAUUUUCAGUUUUUGUUCGUGAUUAGAUAUUUCUCAUUAGGAUGAGUUCUUCUCCGGUCGUUUACAAAUGUUUCCUUGUAUUGAAGGCUCACACGUAAAUCUGUGAGAUAGAUGUUCUAUGUUCUUUUGCAGGUAUUGGUAAACACAGCCGUUGACAUGCUUCACUUCCUCUAGCUGUGAAGACAUUAAUAUGAUUAAUUAACAAGCUGAGGAAUGGAAUGUUGCGUUAAAGGUUGUUGGAGUUUGAGCCUUUGAUCAAACCUGCAACUAAGAAAGCUUUAUGAGAAGAUGAAGAAAAGAGAAGAAGCUUUAUAGGGUGGCUGUAGCUAGUAGCUGUUGAGUGCCAUAGAGUCAUGAGUGUCUUGAGGAGCAUGAUUGCUUGUAUAAGUGUCGUAGUGACGUAGUAUAAAACUAUGUGUGUGUGUUGUGUAAGUGACAUCCAAGUUUAAUGCAGUUAAAUUAGGGUUUGUUAUGGGCUUCUAACUCAAAACCAAUUGACAAUGAGUGGAUUGGCCCUAAUCUCUUAUAUAUUACUGAAGUCCCCUCACAUCUUCCGAUGUGGGAUCUUUUCUCCACAUGCCCCCUUGAGAUAAUGGCUUUUUUAUCCAUUAAUCUCGACAGAAUCCAUCACGCCCCCUCGAGAUAAUGCUCUUCUAGAGCGCUCGAUGGAAUUGGGCCUUCUUUUGGGCCAUCAAUUAAUGGGGUGAUCGGGCCUCUAUCCGGGCCGGAUUAAUUAAUGGGUCAGCGUGUGUUCGGGCUCUGAUACCAUGUUAAAUUAGGGUUUGUUAUGGGCUUCCAACUCAAAACCAAUUGGCAAUGAGUGGAUUGGCCCUAAUCCCUUAAAUGUAAUGUAGUGUUUUGAGUAAAAACGUUUUGUGUUAUCUCUCUAACAAGAACUAAAACAAAGAGUGAAUCAAAGAGAGAGAGAGAUCAGAAACAUAAAGAAUGAGAGUACAAACCUUGAGAGGUAAGAAGUGUGAUUGUCAACAAAGGUACAUGUUUGAUGAGACAAGACCAACAGUUAGUGUGGCCUCAAUUCCGACCCAGCAGAAUCUAUGGUUGAGUUCAAAUUUAGCAAAUACUUGUGUUACUUCAUAUAGGUGUAUCAUAUCUCUUUCAGACUGAUGAUUCUUCUUUGUAACACUGUAUAUGUGGCCAAUUGUUUAGUGUACCCGAACAGGUCUACGUAAUGUGACUGUAGAGCAGCGAUAUUUGUAGUGAGAUCAAAUGUAACUUAAGUGGAUAUUUAUAUAAAAGUUUGAAUUUUCCUGGUGUCACAAUUCACAAGGCCUUAAAAAUAACUAACUGAUUUGCAACUAACAAAAGAAAGAGAACCAAAAUAAUAAUAUUAACUAAACCUUAAUAUAAGUAUGUAAUUACCCUACUAAACGAUAACAAAAUAUGUCACUAAACCUUAAUAUAAGUCAGUCAUUACCCUAUAAAAAGAAAAGAAAAUCUGUCGCUAAACCUUAAUAUAAGUAUGUCAUUACCCUACAAAAAACUCUGUCAUGACAUGUAACAAUUCUGUCGCUACAUACACAUCUAAUACAUCUGAACAUACAACAGUUUUAUGAUAUUUUUUUUUUUAUAGAAAAAAAUUCUGUCACAAGAAAAAUUAAUCUGCCAUAACGUACUACGGAAAAGGGUCAUUCUAGCAAUUUUUAACAAAGUUUAACAAAUCGGUCAUCAAGUGACAGUUUUUAAAAAAAUUUAAAAUUUGUCAUCACCUUAAAAAAAAUCUGUUAUCAUUAGACGUCAAACUAGUAAUUAUUUUUUUGUAAAUAAGUCUAUCAAUACACGACAUAUUAGUCUCCCAGUAGUAAUGAUGAUCUUAAUGUACCUUAUCAACCAUAUAAAAGGGUAUUUUUGAUAAUAGAUAGAAAAUAGAGGUAUUUUUUAAAAAGGGAUAGACCAAAAGGGACAUUUCUCAAAAAUUCUCUUAUUUUGGGGCGAAAAAAUCUGAAACAACUAAGAAAAAUAAAUCUACCAGAUAUUUUAACAAAUCUGUCAUACAUUACAAAAAUCUGUCUUGUUUUCAUAUAAAAGUCUGCCGUAAAAAAUAAAUCUGUUACUCAUAUUAAAUAUGUCAUAACUAUUAUUAAAAAGUGUGCUGUACAAAAAACUGUCAUAUAAAAUCUGUCAUUCUAGAAUAAAUCUAUCGUACACAAAUAAAUCAGUCACAACAUGUACGACAGACUUUAUAAAAAAUAUUCAAGAUUUUGGAAAAAUCAUAAGUUUUUUUUUUCAAUGGUAAAGUUGACUUUUAUUUUUUCCUUAUCAAAAUAAAAAAAGAUAUUUUUUUCAUGAAAAGUACUAAUCUAACCGAAACAUUUUAUAAGUUAGUUUAAUAAUUAAUCUCUUUAUUUGGGUCAAUCUAGUUUUUUCCCAUUGAAUAAUACAUAAUUCCAAAAUACAUUCAAUUCCUUUUAAAAAAAGAACAAAUCCAAUAACACCCCUUAUUCUUUUGUUUUUUUUUAAUAAACUAGCUAAAUCAAUUUACUUGAGAAAUAGGAGUAGGGUUUGGUUUUAUGAUUAUUCUUAUUUAAGGAGCCGUGAAAUAUUUUGUAGAGUAGUUUUGAUUAUUGAAUAAAAGAGUUUAUUAUCAAAAGCCAUAGAGAGGAGGACUCUCAACCCUAAAGAGAUUUUUGUGCUAAGUUCUUUUGAAGCUUUUAUAUUUUCGUCAGUUAUAUAGGUUCCGCUCUCCAUCAAUUGGUAUCAGAUUAAUGACGUUCCUAGUGGUUUGAUUUCCCUUUGACGUUGUCUCCGACAUACAUAUGAUGGGAGAAAAAUUAUCAGGUCGAUCGAUAUUGGCUUCGCAGGAAUCCUGAAAUCACAUCUCCUCACCUGAGAGAUCGAUUCAAGCACCACAUGCUCCAAACUCGAACCCUAAACCACCAAUAGACCUCAAAUAACAUCAACAACACACAAAAAAGCCAAAACACAACAAUUCUAGCUACACAAAUCAAUCAAACACACAUAAAUGGUUUUAUACGCCCAAAUUAACCAUGGCCAUGCACUCACCUUGAUGUGGAUUGAAAGGAUGGACGAAAAUAGAUAAGAUGAGCACUCAUGUAACCUCACUUCACACCACAACCAUGAACUCAGCAAAUCCCUUAUUUGAACACCCAAGAAUAGCCACAAAAACGUCUAGGAAACCUCAUGAACAAGCCAACACAUAACUCUCCCUCUCUUUUGCUUUCAGAAACGUCCACAACCAAAAAGUGAGAAGAAAGUGGCUGCCAUCGAGUCUUAUGUGGAGGUUAGUGCUUUCCCUAAACCAAUUUUUAUUAAACCGACGAUUUAAAACUAAACCGCCAAAACCAAAAUUUUUUGGUAUCGAUCAACACCAAACACUGGUGUCGAUCGACACUACUAAAAUUUCAGACACGGAUGUUAGAUAUAUCAAAAGAUAGCUCUCAAAGAUAUAUUUAAGUGUCGUGAUGGGAGUGGCGACAAAAAAAAAAAAGUGUCUUCAUGGGAGCUGGAUGAAGCUCAACCAAGAAAUAUAGAAUUGGUCAAAGAGAAGAUGUUGAUUCAAAGCAAGAUGGAGCAUGUUGAGAAAAUGCUAGUUUUUGAAAAAGAAAAAUCAGAAAAUGCUAAAUAAGCUUGCUGCAACACGAAAAUGCUCUUGUGCUUUUAAAAUUGAGGAUCAUGAUUUUCAUAUCUGUUAAAUUGAAGGUUGUACUUAGGGCAGAAAAAGAAGCAUCCACACGGCUGGAUAAAGAACUCAUGGAAUACAAAAAACACUUUAGGAUCAGGGGCGGACCCACAUGAAUUAAGGUGGGGGCAGCUGCCACCAGCAAAAAAAAAAAACAUUAAAAAACUAUUAAAUAUUAUUAAAAAAAUAAAUCUGUCCCACCGAAAUUAAAGAACAAAACUUACUUUUUCUUCUUUUUCUGUCCCCACCGAAAUUAAAGAACAAAACUUACUUUUCCUUCUUUUUCUGUCCCCACCGAAAUUAAAGAACAAAAUCCCAAUAUCAACCCAUAUAGCAAACAAAAAUAUUAAUAUAUAAACUAAAACAACUAACUUAAUAAAUUAAAAACCUAGACCUAGUUUUUUGUUAUUUUUUUCUCCUAUUCAUUUCUUCUUUGUUUUUUUUGCUGUACACGACGAUUAACACGUACAAGUCAACAACUAUCAAUUGGUGAGUCUUUUUUUUGCUUUUUUUUUUACAAUUGUUUAUAUUAUCUAAGUAUUAUUUUUCAGCCAGUUUAGUUUAUUUAAUCAAUCAGGCCUACGGUUAUGUUUCCUGGAAAACAUUAUAUAGGUUUUUACGUUAUACAUGACUACAUUAGUUUUUGCAGUUAUGUGUUUAUUUUAUGGAGCUUUUAUAGAGAUUUGUUACAUAAUUCAAUAAAUAUAAAAUUAAUAAAUUUUAAAAUAUAAGUCUAUACAUUAUUUUUUUAUAGAAACUGUUUUAGUGUGAUGUGACAUUGUUACUGUAGGUUUUCUAAAAUUUUAACUAACAACAUGUUUUUGUUUUAUAGAUAAAUCGCCAAUAUGAAAAAAAUUUACAAACCAAUUCCUAAACCAACAUCACACCCCAAUGUCGAUGAUCAACCACUGGAUCCAGCUAACACCAAUGUUGAUGAUCAACCACUGGAUCCAGAUAACACCAAUGUCGAUGCUCUGCCAAGGGAUCCAGCUAAGAGGAAAGAGAUAGUGAUUUAUCAUCCGAAUCAAAGAGACGAGGUAAGCCGCAAAUAUCUUGUUAGAUGUCCAUGUCAACCUUCUGGUCAUUCUUUUAAAAGAACAAAGAUGAGUAAUUGAAAGAACCCAUCCCAUUUUUUUUUUUAUUGUUGCAUGCAAACCGGAUUAACCCAAUUAAUUCGAACCAGCUAAACCGACAUAAUAAUUUAAAUCAAUUAAACCAAGCAAUCUCAUUAAAGUAAACCAACAAUAUUAACCAGCAGAAGACUUAACCAAAAAUCCAAUAAAACAAUUCCAUUAAACCAACAAGUUCAACCAAACAUUAUUCCAAAACAUGAUCAUCCUAACAUGUUUCUAAAUUCCAUUCUAACACCCUAAUAAAUCCAACAAUAAUCUAAAACACCAAUGAGUGCCUAGAUCAUCCUCCUCUCCUCGCCAUGAUUCCACGGAUCACACUUUGCUUUUACCUGCAUCAAAGAAAGAGAUGCAUAAGUAUUUCAUAAAUACUUAGUGAGGCAAUCAUCCCACCACUGGCUAUACACACAAGCAGAAUGGACACAUUCAAGUAUAACUCAAACAACCACCAAUACAACGCAAAACAACACAAUAUGACCCGUUCUGACGAGCAGUGUCGAUCGACACCAUCCGCUGGUGUCGCUCGACACUCGCGACCAUCCUCGCGAGAAAGAAAGUUGGUGUCGAUCGACACCCUCCCUUGGUGUCGAGCGACACCGAAACCCUAACAUCGCUCCAGCCGCUUCUCAUCGACGAAUCCACCAACUCCAGGACUCCAGGCCUGAUCUAUCUCCUUCCCAGACUCGUACCAAGACACCAUAUCACAUUGACAAGCAUACAAACACAGAAAUCAAAUAUCAAUCAAAAGAAACACUCAAAUAUGCAUCAAAACUGCUUAGAUCAGCCUAGUCAUGCACUCACCUUUCAAAAGGACAGAACAAAAACGAACAGACCACAACAACAGCAACCAAGGACUCUCGUAACACCACAGCUACGAGAUCUCUCUUCCCAAGGACAGAAACACCAGGAACAAGGCUCAAAACACUUCUCAAACCUCACAAAACCUCUCUAGAGAACUUAGAAACCUUUUAAAAGAAUAAAAGCGGCCCCUCACAACAAAACACGACCUUCACUCUUUUAAACGUGACCUAGGGUUAAACCCUAACCAAAACCUCAAUUGAACCGACAAUUUAAAACUUAAACCGUCAAACCAAAAUUACUAGUGUCGAUCGACACCCGACCACAGUGUCGAUCGACACCACCCGGAUUUCCAGACACGGGCGUUACAAUUCUCCCCCACUAACUAGGAUUCGUCCCCGAAUCCUCCAACACAACCGUCAGUACACAACUGACCUCACCGAGGCCCCUAUCCAAUCAAUAUACUCACGUUCCAGACUCUAUUUGCUCAUACACACACACCUCCCCCGUCCAUAGGUCGCAACCCGUGGAUCAUACCGGCUCGUCCUCAGGCCUCAUCCUUAGACUACGGUAUCCAGGAAGCCUCACCACUUCCCCCGCUCUCAGGUCGCAACCCUCAAGUCAUACCGGCUCACUAUUAGGCCACCCGCCUUCUAGCUACGGUAUGCGGGAAGUCACACGCUCGCUCUCGGGUCGUCACCCUCAAGCGUGCACUCGAAUCGUCAUCCGAGGCCAUCACAUCAUAUCCGAGCAAAUAAGUCUAAACGCCCCCGAGCAUAUCUCUCGAUCAGAUAUACCUCCCGUGGUCCACUUAUAACAUCGCAAUGCUAUACUAACCACCACCCCGAGACUUUCCAAAAAUAGAACCGUCAAACCCGACACUUUCUAUUUUUAGAAACUCGCACAUAUUUCUCUUACACAUGACACAACAAGUCAAAUCCAAGAAAUACUCAUCUUAUUAAUCUCCAAAGUCAUAAUCAUUACACCAAAAUGAGAAUACAAAAGAGAUACAACUAAAACAAAACUCAAAAACCAAACAAGCCAACGGUCUACUCCUCGACCUGCUUGUCAAACCACUUCCGGAACCUUGCCUUCAUCCUGGCCACUGGCUCCCACGUCUCCUCCAAGACUCCAUCACAGUCCCACUGGACUCUCAUCAAAGGAAUCUUCUUACGUCGAAGUUCCUUUACCCGCCUCUCGAGAACCCUCACUGGCCUCGCCUCCAAGGUCAUGCUAGGCUGAAGAUCUGCCGAGAUCGUAGCCAACACCUCAUCAUCCUUGUGAAGACACUUCCUCAGCAUCGACACGUGGAAUACCUUAUGAAAUGCAUGCAUUACCUCAGGUAACUCCAACCGAUAAGCCACCGGUCCAACCCGCUCCACAAUUCUGAAAGGACCCAUAAACCUCGGACUCAGCUUAGUCUCGGUAAGGGACCUGUUAGGACCACGCAACAUCGCCAUCUUGAGAUACACCAUAUCUCCAACAUCAAACUCCAACUCCUUAUGCCUCUUAUCAGCAUAACACUUUUGUCGAUCCUGCGCCUCUCUCAUGUUCAGCUUCAGAACCCGAAUCUUCUCUGAAGUCUCCUGAACAAAAUCCGCACCAUAUAUGCUCCUCUCCCCCACUUGAGUCCAUCAUAGAGGUGUCCGACACGGCCUCCCAUACAACGCCUCAUAAGGAGCCAUCCAAAUACUCGCCUGGUAGCUAUUAUUAUAAGCAAACUCCACCAAGCCCACUGACCACCCCAGUCCAACACACACAUCCUCAACAGAUCCUCGAGUGUCUGAAUGGUCCGCUCAGACUGCCCGUCUGUCUGAGGGUGGUAAGCCGUGCUCAAAUGCACCUUAGUACCCAUCUCCUUCUGGAAAGCCUUCCAGAACGCCGAAGUGAACUUCGAAUCUCGGUAUGACACAAUACUGGCCGGUACUCCAUGAAGUCUCACAAUCUCCUGCACAUACUUCUUAGCUAGCACUGCCGCUCCAUCGGUUUUCUUGAUAGCCAAGAAAUGUGCAGACUUAGUCAAACGGUCCACAAUGACCCAAAUGGCAUCCUUGAACCGAGACACUGGCAACCCCACCACAAAAUCCAUCGUGAUCAUGUCCCAUUUCCACUCUGGAAUAGGGAGACUCUGCAAUAAUCCACUCGGCACCUGAUGCUCAGCCUUCACUAGCUGACAUACAUCGCACUCAGUGACCCAUUUAGCCACAUCCCUCUUCAUCCCGACCCAAUGAUAAUACCGCUUCAGAUCUCGGUACAUCUUGGUCGCUCCUGGAUGAAUAGAGAACCUACUCGCAUGAGCCUCACUCAAGAUCUCACGUCUCAACUCCUCAUCCUUGGGCAAACAAACUCGCCCAUGCACAAGGAUAGUCCCAUUGGCUGCAACCUGAUACUCUGACUCAGUAUCCUUAGAAGUAUUAACCAGCCCUGCAUCCUUCUCCUGAGCCGCUCGAACUCUGGUCAGAAGGUCUGCUCGGUUAGCUGCUUCUAACCCUAAUGGCUCCUGAGAAAUAGCACAUCACCGCAAGGUGCUAAGUUCUUCCACCAAGGUCUCCAUGUCCUGCCCUCGAGCUGAAGCCGCUCACUUCCUGCUCAGAGCAUCUGCAACCAGAUUAGCCUUACCAGGAUGGUAAGCUAUCUCCAGAUCAUAGUCUGCAACCAACUCCAUCCAGCGCCUCUGCCUCAAGUUCAACUCAGGCUGCGUGAAUAUAUACUUCAGACUCUUAUGAUCCGUAAACACCUGAACCUUCGCUCCAUACAGAUAAGAUCUCCAAAUCUUCAGAGCAAAGACCACCGCUGCCAUCUCUAAAUCAUGAGUAGGGUAGUUGCCCUCAUGCUUCCGCAACUGCCUCUUUUGUUCCACUCGGCACCAGAUGCUCAGCCUUCACUAGCUGACAUACAUCGCACUCAGAGACCCAUUUAGCCACAUCCCUCUUCAUCCCGACCCAAUGAUAAUACCGCUUCAGAUCUCGGUACAUCUUGGUCGCUCCUGGAUGAAUAGAGAACCUACUNNNNNNNNNNNNNNNNNNNNNNNNNNNNNNNNNNNNNNNNNNNNNNNNNNNNNNNNNNNNNNNNNNNNNNNNNNNNNNNNNNNNNNNNNNNNNNNNNNNNAAACACCUGAACCUUCGCUCCAUACAGAUAAGAUCUCCAAAUCUUCAGAGCAAAGACCACCGCUGCCAUCUCCAAAUCAUGAGUAGGGUAGUUGCCCUCAUGCUUCCGCAACUGCCGCGAACCAUAGGCGAUCACCUUACCCUGCUGCAUCAACACACAACCCAAACCAACUCCCGAAGCGUCCGUGUACACCACAUACGGCUCUCCCUGCUCCGGUAAAGCCAAAACCGGCGUACUCGUCAACAUCUCCUUGAGUUGAGUGAAACCCUGCUCACACUCAAGAGUCCACACAAAAGGAACAUCCUUCCCCGUCAGCUUGGUCAUUGGCUGAGCUGUACUGGCAAAGCCCUUCACAAACCGCCUGUAGUAACCUGCCAAUCCCAGAAAACUCCGUAUCUCUGUGGCAUUCUGCGGUCUAGGCCAAUCUCUGAUAGCCUCAAUCUUCUCUGGAUCCACAGAAACUCCCUCUGCAGACACGAUAUGACCCAGAAAACCCAUCUUUCUCUGCCAGAAACUACACUUGCUCAACUUAGCAUACAACUUCUGUUCCCGCAGCUUCUCCAACACUGCCCGCAAGUGUAUCUCGUGCUCCUCAAGACUCUUAGAAUACACCAGGAUAUCAUCAAUGAAGAUGAUCACAAACUCAUCCAGAAACGUCUGGAACACGCUGUUCAUCAGCCUCAUGAACGCCGCUGGCGCAUUAGUCAACCCGAAAGGCAUCACCACGAACUCAUAAUGCCCAUACCUCGUCCUGAACGCCGUUUUACGGAUAUCCGCCUCGUCGAUAGGAAUCUGAUGGUAACCCGACGCCAAAUCGAUCUUUGAGAACCACGUAGCUCCCUUCAAUUGGUCCAACAACUCAUCAAUCCGCGGCAAAGGAUACUUGUUCUUCACCGUGACUUGGUUAAGUCCCCGAUAAUCGAUACACAGCCAGAAACUCCCAUCCUUCUUCUUAACGAACAACACCGGUGCCCCCCACGGUGAAACACUAGGACGGAUGAAACCCUUACCCAGCAGAUCCUCCAACUGUUUCUUCAGCUCCGCCAUCUCCGCUGGACCCAUCCGGUACGGAGCCUUAGACAACGGUGUUGUCCCGGGCUCUAACUCAAUCGUGCAGGGAUCAGACCGAGAUGGUGGUAACCCCUUUAACGACUGAAACACAUCCUCGAACUCCUGAACCACCCGGAUCUUAUCCACUGCUACCUCAUCGACCGUCUCUGGCAUGACAAUCGUAGCCAAAUAAGCUUCCCGUCCCUUUCGGAUCAUCUUAUCCGCCUGAAUCGCCGAAAUCACUAAACUCCCCGCAAUCGGUCUCACACCCUGGAAAUACAUCUUCGGUCCGGGACGCUCGAAGUAUACUCUCCCCCGGUGACAAUCCAGAUGAACUCUGUGCCGCUCCAACCAAUCCAUGCCCAGAAUUACAUCAUACAACUCCACCGGACUAAUGUACAGAUCUGCCGGCAUCGACUCUCCCGCAAUCUGUACAUCCACACCACUAGCCCGCCCCUGAACCGCUAGCAAAGCUCCUCCUGCGACUCUUAACGGCUCCGUAACAACCAUCGGGAUCUCCUCGGAUGUUACCACCCAUCGCGCACUCUGGGGUAAUGAAGCUAUUCGUAGCUCCAGAAUCAAACAUCACGUGGGACAAGAAUCCGCCCACCAACAGGGUCCCUACACAAAACCCUUUUCACUAAGACCGCCCACCCCAAAAUCACAGGAAAACAACACAAAUUCUAAAACAACGGAAGGAAACAGAAUGAGUCUUAGAGUUAAACCUGUGAUCGGCCGUCCAGUGCUUGGCUCUCCUGUCUCCACGGUCGUAUACCCCCUCGAUCCCUCGAUCUGUGCCACCGGCGGUGCUCCCAGCUGAGCCAACGACUGCCCUGCCAACUGCAAUCCUGGCUGCACCCACUGCUGCACCACUAGCUGCAUCACCGGCUGCACCGCUGCUACCGCCAUCUACUGCAACUUAGGACACCUCGUCUUGAUGUGCCCCGUCUCUCUGCAGUGGUAACAGACACGUGUAUCCACCCAUGGCUCGCCCUUCUUCGGGCAGCUUGCCACCCUGUGAUCCGUGCUCCCACACCUGAAGCACCUCCGAUCACCCUGACUCACCCUGGAAGUGUCAUCCCACUUCCUCUUCUGUCCCUGAGCAGGUUUGCCACCUCUGCUCGGAACCGACUGUGGCUGGGUCUUCUUUGGCUGCGCCGACGGACUAGGAAUCACCCCGUGGCUCCUCAACUCGUCCUCGAUCCCUGCCGCCACCUCAACCAGCUCCACACGCGAUGCAUAGGCCCGCACCUUGCACUGCACCCUCAUGUCGGGGCUGAGACCCUUCAUGAACCGACGCACCUGCAUCUGCUCAGGAUCUCCCGCACGUCCCGAGUACACCAAGAGUCGGCUGAACUCCGAGUCGUACUCCCGCACCGACCGCUCGCCCUGAGUCAACGCAAGGAACUGCGACUCCAUCCGGUCCAGUGCCUCCGCCGGAAAAUACUUGGCAUUAAACUCUGCUAAGAAAUCUCCCCACACCGCCAAUCCCUGCCCCCUCUUGGCUAGCACACUCCGCCACCACAAAUGUGCAUCACCCGCCAAGUAGUGGGCCGCUAGGUCCACCCGAUACGCCUCUGGGCACCUCAUCGACUGGAAAUACCUCUCCAAUCGCACCCGCCACUCAUCCGCUACAGCCGGGUCGGAACCUCCGAAGAACAAGGACAUCCCGAACCGCUGCAGCUGCUCCAACAUCCGCAGGUAGUACGGCUGCUCGACCACCUCAGGCGGUACAACCCCAACAACAGGCUGCACACCCGGCAUAACAGGCUGCACACCAGGCCCAAGAGGAGCCUGCACCUCAGGCCCAACAGGAGCCUGCACCGGCGGUACCGCACCCGGUAACCGCUCCAAGAGCUGCGUCAGUAAAUCCGCAAGCCGAUCAUUCUGACCCUGGGCUUCACCUGUUGGAACACCCCCAACCGGGUUCCCAACAACACUAGUACCGUUCCCGGACGAACCGGCUCCCACGGCACUCACACUCCCACCACCCACGGGCCCGUCCUGAUGCGACUGGGACUCACUAACAAAAUCGGCCGUAGCACUUCGGCCCACACUCGUGUCGCUAUCCGAGGCAACACCACGCCCCCCACCGCGACCACGCCCACGACCACGACCACGACCACGACCGACAGCUCCACCUCUAACCAUCUGCAACACAACAGAAGGCUAAGAACACCAAACAAAUCACCAAACAACACACUUACCGUGGAAUCGCAUUGAAGGCUCGAGAGGAUGAUCUAGGUCUCCAUGCUCACACAAUUGAUUAAACACACAAUCAAUCAACAUGCAAUCCACAUCAUCAUUCCUCAUCAAUGAAAUUCACACAUCACNNNNNNNNNNNNNNNNNNNNNNNNNNNNNNNNNNNNNNNNNNNNNNNNNNNNNNNNNNNNNNNNNNNNNNNNNNNNNNNNNNNNNNNNNNNNNNNNNNNNACCAGCGGAAGACUUAACCACACCUCCGGUAGCUAGCUACAUUAAACCAACAAGUUCAACCAAACAUUAUUCCAAAACAUGAUCAUCCUAACAUGUUUCUAAAUUCCAUUCUAACACCCUAAUAAAUCCAACAAUAAUCUAAAACACCAAUGAGUACCUAGAUCAUCCUCCUCUCCUCGCCAUGAUUCCACGGAUGUCACUUUGCUUUUACCUGCAUCAAAGAAAGAGAUGCAUAAGUAUUUCAUAAAUAUUUAGUGAUGCAAUCAUCCCACCACUGGCUAUACACACAAGCAGAAUGGACACAUUCAAGUAUAACUCAAACAACCACCAAUACAACGCAAAACAACACAACAUGACCCAUUCUGACGAGCAGUGUCGAUCGACACCAUCCGCUGGUGUCGCUCGACACUCGCGACCAUCCUCGCGAGAAAGAAAGUUGGUGUCGAUCGACACCCUCCCUUGGUGUCGAGCGACAGCGAAACCCUAACAUCGCUCCAGCCGCUUCUCAUCGACAAAUCCACCAACUCCAGGACUCUAGGCCUGAUCUAUCUCCUUCCCAGACUCGUACCAAGACACCAUAUCACAUAGACAAGCAUACAAACACAGAAAUCAAAUAUCAAUCAGAAGAAACACUCAAAUAUGCAUCAAAACUGCUUAGAUCAGCCUAGUCAUGCACUCACCUUUCAAAAGGACAGAACAAGAACGAACAGACCACAACAACAGCAACCAAGGACUCUCCUAACACCACAGCUACGAGAUCUCUCUUCCCAAGGACAGAAACACCAGGAACAAGCCUCAAAACACUUCCAAAACCUCACAAAACCUCUCUAGAGAACUUAGAAACCUUUUAAAAGAAUAAAAGCGCCCCCUCACAACAAAACACGACCUUCACUCUUUUAAACGUGACCUAGGGUUAAACCCUAACCAAAACCUCAAUUGAACCGACAAUUUAAAACUUAAACCGUCAAACCAAAAUUACUAGUGUCGAUCGACACCCGACCACAGUGUCGAUGGACACCACCCGGAUUUCCAGACACGGGCGUUACAGUAAUGCAACAAGACGAUUUAACCUAGCUUGGUUUGAAAAAUACGAUACUUGGCUAGAGUAUAGUGUAUCAACAGACAGAGCUUUUUGUUUGUGUUGCUACUUAUUUAAAGGUGACGGAUGGAAGCAAGGUGAGAGUGAUGCAUUUGUGAAAGAAGGGUUUUGUCUCUGGAAUAAACCUGAAAGGUUAGAAACUCACAUAGGCGGAACCAGCAGUUUUCACAAUUGUGUUGUAGAGAAGUGUGAUAACUUAAUGAAGCAAGCCCAGUCUAUCAAACAUGCUUUGUUUAAGCAUAACGAUGUGGUGAAGAAUGAGUACCGCAUUCGUUUAACUGCUUCAAUUGAUGCUUCCAAAUAUUUGUUGCGACAAGGAUUGUCUUUCCGUGGUCACGAUGAGUCAGAAGAAUCUGCCAAUAGAGGAAAUUUCUUGGAACUAGUGAAAUACAUAGGAGAACAGAAUGAUGCUAUAAGUAAGGUUAUUUUGAAUAAUGCUCCGAAAAAUAACCAGAUGAUUGCUCCUAAGAUUCAGAAAUAGAUUGUGAAUUGUUUUGCAGAAGAAGUAGUGAAAUCGGUUAUUCAAGAAAUUGAUCAUGGCGUCUUUGGUCUGUUAGUUGAUGAGUCUGCUGAUAUAUCUCACAAAGAACAAAUGGCGGUUGUAUUUCGAUUUGUUGAUAAGAGCGUAGAAGUGAAAGAAAGGUUUAUUGGAGUUGUUCAUGUUAAAGAAACUUCAUCUGCAUCUUUGAAAUAUGCUAUUGAUAAUUUAUUUGCUAAGUACGGGUUGAGUUUGAAAAAGCUAAGAGGACAAGGUUAUGAUGGGGCAAGCAAUAUGAAAGGUGAAUUUAAUGGCUUGAGAGCAUUGUUUUCUCAGAGAAAACAAUGCAGCGUAUUAUGUUCAUUGUUUUGCUCAUCAACUUCAGUUGGUGGUGGUGGCAAUCGCAAAAAAACACUUUGAGGUUGGUGAUUUUUUUGAUAUGAUUUCUACAUUGGUGAAUGUGGUUGGAGCUUCUUGUAAAAGACAAGACAUGAUUCGAGAAACUUAUCAAAAAGGUGCAGGAAGGAAUUAGUAGUGGUGAGAUUAACACGGGUACUGGAUUAAAUCAAGAAAUUUCACUAUAAAGACCUGGAAAUACUCGUUGGGGUUCUCAUCAGAGAACAUUGUUAGUUGAUUUGUUUUCUUCUAUCAUUGAAGCUUUUGAGUAUAUCCAAAAUGAAGGCGUCGAAGACUCUAAAAAACGUCAAGCAUAUGGUCUUCUCAACUACUUUCACACUUUUGAUUGUGUGUUCUAUAUGCAACUUAUGCUACUUAUUUUGGGAUUAACUGAGAAUUUGUCAAUGGCUUUGCAAAGGAAAGACCAAGAUAUUUUGAAUGCCAUGUCAUUGGUGGAAUCUACUAAGAGAGAAUUGCAGAAGCUUAGAGAUGAUGGAUGGGAUUCACUUAUGAAUAAAGUUUCAUCUUUUUGUGAGAAACAUAAUGCUGAACCGCUUGUCAUGGAAGACAUCUUUGUAGAUCCAAGGAAACCAAGAAGAAAAACCAAUAUAACCAACCUACAUCAUUAUAAGGCUAACUGCUUCUACACUAUUAUAGAUUUACAGCUUCAGGAGUUCAAUGAUCGUUUUACAGAGGUAAACACUGAUCUACUUAUUUGUAUGGCUUCUUUAAGUCCUCUUGAUUCAUUUCAAGAAUUUAACAGAGAAAAAUUGGUGAGGUUGGCUAAGUUUUAUCCAGAUGACUUCAACUAUGGGGAGGUUUUGUCUCUUGAGCAGCAUCUUGAUAUCUACAUUGACAAUGUGAGUAGAGAUUAACGAUUUAAGAGUCUGAAAAGUCUUGGAGAGCUUUCCCGUUUGAUGGUGAAAACCCAAAAACAUCUUGCACAUCCCUUGGUUUAUAGGCUUUUGAAAUUAGUUUUAACUUUACCAGUUGCUACAGCAAGUGUUGAGAGAUGUUUUUCUGCAAUGAAAUUGGUGAAGACAUCUGCACGGAAUAGAAUUGGAGACCAAUUUCUACGUGAUUGUCUUGUUUGCUAUAUUGAAAAUGAACUAUUUGAAGCGGUCACAAAUGAAAAUGAGAUAAAAAUGUUUCAAUUGUUAAAUGAGCGUCGGGUGGUUUUGUAAGAUGUUUAAAAAAAAAUAUAUGACAAUUUUAUGUUUUUUAAUAAUUUAGUAUUUGUUGGUUUUUAUUAUAUUUUUGCCCCCAUUAAAUAAAUUUUCUAGAUCUGCCCCUGUUGAGGAUGUUGACCAGUGGUACAAAUAAUCUAGAUCAAAUAUUGAGUAUGGGAAGGACAGAGAAAACAAAAUUUGGUUUUGGUUAUCAAGGUGGUGCAUAUGGUUCUAAGAUAGUUUUUGUUCAAGAAAAAAUUUUGUCUGUUAAAACGAGGGAGCAUAUGUUGGAUGUAACUCCAAAAGUUUUAGUCUUGGAUUGAACAGAGGUCCAUCUAGAGAGAGGUCAAUCCAGACAGAGGUCUAUCUAGACAAAAAGUUUUAAUUUUAGUCUUGAAUUUUAAGUGACCAAUCCAAAAUUGAUACAGUGAAAUGUAGAGUUUGAUUGAGAUAGAAAAUAAAAGAGUUUGAUCUUUACAUUUAUUUAGUUACUGACUGGUUUAAACGUUGCGGUUGCGGCUGCGAGAGUUUGCAUAGAAAAAGGAAAAAAGAGAGAGAUAGAGAGAUAGUAAGAAUCAAUUAUGAAAAAAUCAUUUUUCUUAGUGAAACUAGGUAAUGUCCCGCGCAUAUGCGCGGGUUGUUGUAUAUUUAUUUAAUUAUUUUAAUUUAUUUAUUACUUAUAAAAAAUAGAUUAAAUAAAUUUUAAUGCUUAUGAAAUUUUUACAUGUUAUUUAUUUAAAUCAUACAAUAGAAGCAUACAUCCAUAUCUUUUGAAUUUAUUUGUUGAUUAAUUGUUCAAUUAAUCAAUUUUGAUAGUAAUUUUCUUUAGUACUUUUAAGUAUUUUUUGAUAAAACAAUAAUAUUGUUAAUGAUAAAAAUAGGAAUGAUAUUGGGAGAAUUUAAAAAAUACCCCUUUAAAAAUACCACUUUUUAAUUUUAUUCCCUUUUCAAACUUUAUCAAAACAACCACUAAAAAUGUUGAAAUUUAUCCAAAUAUGUGUGUAAACUUAUAAAUAUACACAAAAAUUACCUUUAUUUGUGUAUAAAAUUUUAUUUAUUUCAAUGUCUUACAAAUUGGUUUAAAUAUAACAAAAAUAUAUUUUGUUAAAAUAAUUACAUUCUUUGAAAAUAAAAUAAAUAUACAUGAAUAUGUGAGAAAGAAAAAAACAUAUAAAGUAAAACAGUGAAAAUGGUUUAUUUAGCUUGAUUUUCUUAUGGUGCGAUGGUCAGAAAUCAAUAUUUUUGAAUCCCAUCGAUAAAGUAAUUUCCUUAUACCCAUAAAAUAUUAUUAUGCAUAUGUAUUAUACAUUUAAUAGUAUAAAAAACAAUGAAAAAUGAAGAAGUACAUAAAAUAAAGAAGAAAUACAAUUGAAAACAAAAGUUUUAACCAAAUAUAUAAUCAAGCUCUUACAAUGAUAUCUUAAUUAAGAUUUCAACCCAUGCAAGAACAUUAAAAAUUAAACAAAGAAAUAUUGAGAAUAUCAGAUAUGGUGGAGGAGGAUGUAAAAAUGAGUAUUUAUAGGAUAAAAUAUGAUGUAAGUUACAAUUUUAAAAUAAUUAAAUCAGAUGAGUUAUAAUUAUAUUUUAUAGUGUAUUAAUUGAAUUUAAAUGGAGGAAACAAAUAGUCAAUUGAAAGGUUAUAUAAUUUAAGUUACAAUUUAAUAGUAAAGCGUGGAUUUCAAGUAUGAAUUAAAGUAUAUGACUAAAUGUAUUAGAUAUUUGGUUUAAUUAAAAAUAAAUAUUAUAGUUAAAAAAUAAAUGCUAAAUGGACCAAUAAGCAGAAACCUUAAAAAUUCCCAAAGAAUAAUUUUAUUUUUUAAUUUGUUUUUAUAUUCCUCUUAAUUAAGCUAUAUCUCUAGGUUUAAUUAUAUUUUUCAUCGUUGUAGUAUAUAUAAUAGAUAGAAAAUUGAAUAUCCAAUUGUUUUUUAUAUAGGAAAUCAAGUAUAAAAUUCAAAGUUAACAAAAAUUAUAAUGUUGUUUAUAUUAUUACAUGUUGAAUCACAAACUAAAUAUAAGGAUCAUUAUUCUUAAAAGAAUGUCUUACAAAUUGGUUUAAUAAUUAUAUAACAAAAAGUUUAUUUUGUUAAAAAAUUACAUACUUUUGAAAUUAAAAUAAAUAUACAUGAAUAUGUGAGAAAGAAACAAACAUCCAAUGUAAAAUAAUGAAGAUGGUUUCUUUAGCUUGAUUUUCUUAUAACCAUAAAAUAUUAUUAUACAUAUGUAUUACAUUUAAAAAUAUAAAAAACAAUGAAGACAUAAAGAAAUACAUAAAAACAAAAAAUAAAUAAAAUUGAAAACAAAAGUUUAAACUAAAUAAUUAAUCAAACUCUUACAAUGAUAUUUUAAAUGAGUUUUCACCCUAUGCAAGAACUUUAAAAAAAAACAAAGAGAAUAAUGAAGAUAUGAGAUAUGGUAGAGAAGGAUGUGAGAAUAGCUAUUUAUAUGAUAAGAAGUGAUGUAAGUUACAUUUUUAAAAUAAUUAAAUUAGAGGAGUUAUAAUUAUAAUUUAUAGUGUGUUUAAUUAGAAUUCAAUAAAGAAAACCAAUAGUCUUUGAAAAUUUAUAUAAUAUUCAGUUUCAUUUUAGUAGUAAAGUGUGAAUUUAAAGUAUUAAUUAAUGUAUGUGAUUAAAUAUGUUUUUUGGUUUAAUUAAAAAGAAAUAUUAUAUUUUUAAAAAAUAAAUACAAAAUGGAACAAUAAAGAGAGUGAAAUCUUACUUUUUUUUUUAUCAACCACACAUUUAUUAAAAUUGAACUCCAUGAUUGGUAGCCCAAACUGGAGGAAAGUUGUUUACAAAAGUAACUUAUGAAUCAAGAGAUCUGGAAGAACGAGCGAGACAAUCUGCUUUUGAAUUACAAGUACGAGAAAUCUUAGUUAAAGAGAACGACGGAAAUGAUGCACGUAACAGUAGAAAAUCGUCUAAGAGGUUGGAGAAUGCUGGCCACUCUUGUGGGUCUUGUACCAUUGCAAUAAGCUCGGCACAAUCUGAUUCAAAAGUAUGACAGUCAAUCCUUCUUAUAAGAAUAUUCUCCAUAGCCCAUAAUAACGCUUCCAAUUCUGAAUGGAGAGGUGAGGGACACCCUCUAAGACAUUUAGCACCUAGUAUAUAUGUUUUCUCCUCUCCUCUGAAACACCACCACCCCAGGCCUGAAAACAUAUUCCCCGACUUCCACGAACCAUCAAUACGACAACGAACAAUUAGCGAAGGGGGAGAUACAGGUUCUAUUGGUUCAGUUACAUCAGUCAAACUAAUUUGGGCUUCUUCCCAUGAUAAUUGUUCACUUAAAGCUUGAUUUAUAAUAUCGACUGGUUCAGACUGAAUUCCUUGGAACACCUUUUUAUUUCUAUCCUUCCAUAUAAACCAUAAAAUCUAUGGAAAAAAUGCUUUUUCUCCUUCUCCCUUAACCAAGGAAUCACACUCCAAAAAAUGAAGUCUAGAUUUGCGAAUCUCGAGCUAUAAGGAAAACCUCCUGGGAGCAUAGGAAUUGUAGACAAUUCCCAAAUUCGUCUCGAAUGCGCACAUUCAAAAAGCGCAUGAUUAAUUGUCUCGAUUUCAACGCAACAUUUUUUACAUACCGUGUCACAUUGAAUCUUGCGAGAAGCUAAGGCGUCCAUGACCGGAAGUGUACCCGUGGCAAUUUGCCAAAUAAAAUGCUUGAUUUUUGGUGGAGUGCGAAUAUGCCAUGCAUACGCUUUUAGAGCAGUAUAGCUUGGAUUCUCUUCCGCCUCUCCUAUCAAAUUAUGUGCUAGCCAGUACCCAGAUUUGACCGUAUAUUUUCCGGAUUUUGUAUAAUGCCAGAUCAACCUAUCCGGCUUAUAGGUUUUACUUAUAGACAUACUUCUAAUGAUACGAAUAUCCUCCGGAUGCAUAAAUUCAUUAAGAAUGGGUAAAUGCCACUUCUUGGUAAUUGGAUUAACUAAGUGAUUAACCUUUAGAUUUGGAUGCAGUAAAAUUCCUCGUCCAGAAGCUGGUCGUGGAUUAAUAUCAGGUAUCCAACGAUCUUUCCACACCGAGAUGUCAAAUCCUGAACCGAUAGACCAACGUGCCCCCUUUUCUACCAAACUCUUGGUCGAUAAAAUACUUCUCCAUCCAAAAGAUGGAGAAUAUGGUUUCUUUGCCAUUUAGGGAUGUUUAUUCCUAAAGUACCUCCCUUGCAACACCCGUGCAACCAGAGAAUCCGGAUAAAGUAUUAACCACCAAUACUGUUUUGCUAACAUUGCAUCAUUAAAUUUAUCCAAGUCACGAAAACCCAAACCACCUUGAAAUUUUGGCUUACACAUUUUAUCCCAUGCUAUCCAAUGUAAACCUCGAUCUCUACCAUUAGAACUCCACCAAAACUUUGAGAUGGCACUCGUUAAUUUUGUUGUUAAAACUUGAGGGAGUUUAAAGCAAGACAUGACAUAAGUAGGUAGAGCCAACGCCACAGAUUUAAUCAGCGUCUCUUUUCCUCCUUUCGAUAAAAACUUAGCUGACCAACCAUUCACCCGAUCAUUAAGUUUUUCUCGAACAUAAUUAAAAAUUUUACUUUUUGAGCCACCUAAGCUUUCAGGGAUUCCCAACUAGGAACUCAUACCCCCUUCCUUAUCUAUACCAAUUACGGUUUUUAACCUAUCUUUGAUUUGUGAUGAUACUUUUUUCCCAAACAGAACAGAUGAUUUAUUAAGAUUUACUUCCGGCCCUGAAGCUUUUCCAUAGCUCCUAAUUAUUUCCAUAAAUUUUUUACAUUGAUCUUCUUCCGCUUUACAAAAGAACAAACUAUCGUCAGCGAAAAGUAAAUGAGAGAUAGUCGGACACUCUCGUGCUAACUUUAUGCCUGUCAACUUAUUCUCUGUUUCUGCCUUUUUAAUAUUAGCGAUCAGAACCUCUGUACACAGAAUGAACAAAUAAGGUGAUAAUGGAUCUCCCUGUCUUAAACCUCGUUGAGCAGUAAUUCUUCCUCGGGGUUGGCCAUUUAAUAAAACUUGAUAUGAAACUGAUCGCACACUCCACAUAAUCCACGAAACCCAUCUUGCAUCAAAACCUAUCUGGAUCAAAACUGCCUCUAGAAAAUCCCAUUCCACUCUAUCAUAUGCCUUGCUCAUAUCUGUCUUAAUAGCCAGGAAAUCUGAUUUACAUGAUGCAUUAGUUUUUAACCCAUGAAACAUUUCCUGCGCGAUUAAAAUAUUAUCAGUAAUUACUCUACCCGAAACAAAGGCCGAUUGUGUUUCCGAAAUUAGCCUAGGUAAAACUUUCUUUAGCCUUAGACAAAGAAUCUUAGAAAUAAUCUUGUAACUCACAUUACAAAGGCUUAUUGGCCUAAAUUCUGCCAUCCGUUUUGGUUUAUCUACCUUGGGAAUCAAAUAAAUAUUUGUUUCAUUCAGCCUUCUAUCAAACUGUCCUGUACGGAAGAAAUCUUUAACCAGAGCAACCAAAUCCCCUUUUAAAGAAUGCCAAAAUCUUUGAUAGAACAAAGCCGUCAUCCCAUCUGGUCCUGGAGUUUUUUCUGGAUGCAUAGAAAAUAAAGCUUUCCUAAUCUCACCCUUUGUGAUCUCCUUGGUUAAAUCUCUAUUAAUACUCUCUGUAAUGAGAGGAUUUACCUCUUGUACCAUUUCUGAAAUGCCACUCAUAUUAGAUUUUUUAAAAAGGUCCAUGAAAUAAUCAAUGGCAAUAUUUUCCAUACCAGAAUUUGUUUCCACCCAUGAGUCAUCUGGACCAAAUAAUCCUAAGAUCCUAUUCCGUGCCCUUCUUUGCUUUGUGGAUGCAUGAAAGAAUUUAGUAUUUUUAUCCCCUACUUUUAACCAAAAUUUUCUACUUUUUUGUUGCCAGUAUAACGCCUCAUCACGAUACGCCUCCUUUAAUUUAUUCUCAACAUUUCUAAUUUCUACCUGAGGAAUUGAGUCAUCGUUUUUUGCCUCCUCUAGAGCCGACUUCAAAGAGGAUAUUAAUGCCUCACCAUUGGGGAUAUUAUUUUUUCUCCACCAUGAGAUAGAAUUUCUGCAAUUUUUUAUCUUAUCCACAAACACCGGGAUUCUAAAAUUUUUUGUUCGAUUCCACCCCGAUUCAACUGCCCCUGAGAGACCAUCUUUGCCAAUCCAUCUCUUAUCAAACCGAAACUGUCGUCUAGGAAUUUCUAAAUUUUUUUCACAAUUGAUUAGAAUGGGUCUAUGAUCCGAACCAAUCAUAGCCAGAUACUCUACCUUGGAAUAAGGAAAAAGACUAUGACAAUCUUCAUUUCCUAAAGCCCGAUCAAGCCUACAUCUUACCACUUGAUUAUUUCUUCUAUAUCCUUUCCAAGAUAAUUGAUACCAUAACACGGAAACUCUAACAUCCCACAAUCUCGGAUCAUUGAAUUAAAUAAAACAAACGAAGAUGCAGGCCUCAAAUUUCCCCCUAAUUUUUCAUGAUUUCCAGUGAGCUCAUUAAAAUCACCGACCAUGAGCCAUGGAGCAUUUCUGUUAGAUCCUAGUUGUAUUAAUUUAUCCCACACCGAACCCCGAAGAGAAACAACAGGAUCUCCAUAAACAAACGUCAUAAACACAAUUUGUUGUCCCAAAAGAGCUUUAACAUCAAUAAUCCGAUUACUCUCAUAAAGAACCUCCAAUUUUAUUUCCUCAUUAUAAAAUAAAGCUAAACCGCCGCUAUAACCACGUGGUUCAACUGUAUACAAUUUAUUGUAACCCAAACAAACUUGAAAUUUUUGUAAAUAAGAAAAACAUUUUUUUGUCUCCGACAAAAAUAGAAGGUCCGGUUUAUUCUUCUUCCACACAUCCUUUAAAUAGUUCUCCGUCAGGUCAGCCCCUAUACCCUGACAGUUCCAGCUUAUGACUUUCACGUUUGAGCCGGUGGUUUCGGGAGCGCCACCGUCCCUUUCUUCGACACACGACUCUCUCCACCCGAGAUGAUUCCUUCCUUAACUUUGUGGUGUUGUCUGCCUACAACCUUUUGCUUAAUACCAUCACCUACAUUUUUAGAAAGUAAAGCCUUAGCUAACAAACGUUUUCCUGGAGAUGCCAUAAGUAAAGCAUUUCUCUUAUUUGCCUUAGCACCUUUACUGCCAUGAGGACCAAAGGUUUUCUGUAACAAUACAGUUUUACUACCCAAGUCAACCUCUUUCAAAGCCUUACUAACUUUACCCAUUUCAAUACAAAAAGAAUCAGAGCUACAAGACAUACCUUUUCCAUUAGUAUUAUCCUCCACAUAAACAUGAGUCUCGUUAGUUGAAUCUUCUUCUUCAACCAUUACUUGAUCCUCUUCCUGGUAUUCUCCGUCCUCUAAUAAGUCAUCCUUACUCUCUAUAAAUUCGAGACCAGCUGAUAACUCCUUACUCUCCGUUUCCGGUUCAACUUCUGAUCCGAGAUCAUCCUGAAUUUUGCCCACCACAAGAGCCUCUGUAGUGUAAGUUGCAUUGAUAACAGAAUUAUCCACAUUAGGUACCUGCUUAACUUGAUACAAUGGUUUUGGCCAGAGCGGUCCUGGACCUCUUCUGCCCACCUGGGAGCUAUGAGCUUGAAAUUGUGACCCCUCACCAACAUUCCCAGCUGCACCACUCCUAAACUCCCCACUGGAUUCAGCCCAGUUCCCAGGAAAACUCCUCUUAUUACCCCAGGCUGCAGCAUGUUUAUUGAAACGUCGAUAAUUAUGCUUUCCAGCAUUCCUCUCUUCCACGUGAUACUGAAAACUCCCAUUGUUAUCCUCACUGUGAAAAUCCAAAGCUCUCUUUGCGGUCACCUUCCUUGGUUUUUCCCACCCUCCCUCAUGCUUUUGUGCAUUUUGUUUAGCCAACAGUUGUUGUCUAGGAGGCCCUCUCCUGUCAGCUUGGUCGUCAAUCACUCUAUUCCCAGAAACCCUUCUUAACUCUGGACAAGCACCAGCCUCAUGAGUUAACCUAAAGCAAUGUUCACAGAACCCAAUAAGCUUCUCAUACUCCAAAGAAACCACUACUUCAUCACCUGUAUCAAAAGGAACCACCAAUUGAAACAUAAUGGGAUUAAAACCAUUAACAGUGACAUAGAUACUACCAGUAUCUUCAUCAAUCUCCCUAAUUAAACCCAGCUUCUUCCCAAUAGCUCGUAAUGUUGCUUCUUCCCACAGAUGAAUCGGGAUCCCAGAAGCUUUAACCCCAAAAUUAAUAGCUGAUGGGUAAGUACUUGAUAUGAUGGGCUCCCAACGAACCAAAGCUAUCAUCCACCCAUCAAAAUGAUAAGGCACGUUAUGCAAAACCCCCUCAAGCUCCUCCUCGGAGUCAAAAUUAAACUGAAAAGUCCCCUGUCCCAAAUCUGCUCCAACGACCUUAUCUUCCAACUUCCAGAUCUUAGGCAUAUUUGCCACCAGAGAAUCCAUCCUCUGAAUACUUGGGUUCAUCAACCUCCCAAUAAGGGUAAGGGAGAACUGUUGAAUCCGUUGUGACAGAGCCGAACCAGAGAUCUUCACCGUCUCGGUACGAACCAUCACUGCCUUUCCCUUAUUCAAAGCAACUGAGCCAUAAUACACCCCCAAAACCAAAACCGACACCCUUCUUGAAAGAUGAAGGAACAAAGCCAAAAGGACUGAAAAAUCAAGUAUUGUUUAGUAGAAAUGAAAGCAGAGAUGAGAGAGACCCUUGACUCUCGCCUCUGAAUAUAUACCCACGAAAAAGGAAUAAUCCCCCAUCCUUCUUUGGUUAAGCCACAUAAAGAACGAAUCCACAAAACUUCCCAUAAACGACCAACAAUUGCCUUUUGGAAUCUCUCUGUAUUGAUAAAAGAGAUGUGAUGUGUGAUUCUCAAUCGGCAAAUCGAAUCGUAAUAUCUCUUCAUAAUUCCUAAAGAUAUUACACUCCAGCCUAGAAAAUCCUUACAUUGAAACAAACGGACUUGAUCAAUGAUAAGUCUGUAUUUCAUUGCUUUUUGAGUAUGCAUUCAUCAUCUAUUCAGCAUCAUUCACUUGUUGAUUCGCAUCAUAUUGAUCCCUUUCUGCAUGUUUUACAUACUUAGGUAGGUUUUAUGCAUAUCAUGCAUAUCAUGCAUAUCUUGCAUACAUUGUGCAUAUUUGGAGUGUCUCAGGUACUUAGGAGACAUGCAGAGCGAAGCAGAGGAACAAGCGUUACUCGACAUGCACACGAUCGAGUGGGAGGAUCGAGUGAGAAGCAAGGAUGAAUUGCAGUUACAUCGACUAUCGAGUGAGCAGCAGACGUAUACGAUCGAGUAGCGGAUCGAGCAGAAGGGAAGCGAAGCAGAACCACCUGUCACUCGAUGCACUCACUCGAGUGACAUGAUCGAGCAAAGCAAAGAAGUAGCUGAUGGUUUUACAGGUCACUCGACACGAUCACUCGAAUGACACGAUCGAGCAAAGCAGAGAAGAUGGUCACUCGAGGUGCUCACUCGACCAACUUAGUCAAAACAACCUUUGAACCGCUUUUACGUUGUCGUUUUAUGUUUUAAGGUUUUCCCAAACAUUGUUAUAAAUAGGCUUCAUUUGGAUUGCCGAAGGGAGAGUUUGAUUUUUAUUAGGUUUUUGUUGUAGCCACAAAACGAUCCUGAGAAUUGUAAUUCAUAUUUCUUUUGAGUUAUUGAGAUUUUGCAACUAGUUCUGAAAUCAUUGUUGUUACUCUUCCUAUCAUCCUUAUUAUUAUGCAUGUUUUGAACGAUUCUUGUUUCAUGAUGUUUAACAUGAUUUCUGCGUCUGAGUAGUGUUAGGGUUCUUGAGGAUGGGAUAGAUUAGGUGGAGGAUGUUAGUUUGCUAGAGUGUUUAUGUUAGAUUCAUUUUGUUUCCCUUCUCGACUAGAGUUUUAUUAGCUAGUUUUUCUCUGAUCAAUUGGAAUUAGGUCACAGACAUUUCAUACCCGAAAGGUAUAUGAUGAAAUGUCUGAACCAACUAGUGCCAGAGAUUUACAUGCUUAGCCCAAGAGAUUGGUUGUCUAAGAUGUUUAUUGACAUUAAUGAGCUGUUUCUUUAUGCCUGUUUACUUCAUGUUUCAUCAAUGAGAAUUGAGAUUAGGAAGUGUUGUAAACUUGAUAGUUUCUGCCAAGAGAUUGGAUUGACUAGUAUUAGAAGUUCAUUGUCUAGGGAUUAGAAUGUUUGCAGUUUGAUAAACACUCGAAGUAGAUUAGCAUACUCCACCUACAUCAAUAACCUCAUCCUCGGGAUCUUCUAUCCAUUUGUGCUUUCUGUUUAAUUCUCUUGUUAUUUACUUGGUCUGCUUUGUUUUCUUGCCAGUAUCAAUAAUCAUUACGUUUUAGUUUACGCAUGGUAGUCUAUGUUUUACAGCUUUACAUUUAUUGCAUGUUUAACAUGUCCGCUUAGGAUCGCUGAAAACCAAAAGUCAUUUAUGCUUGCUUGACUUAAUCAUCUCUGAUAUAUCUUGAUUGCUAGCAUCACACCUGAUUGGAUUGAUACCUAUUGUACUGCAAUGACAUGAUAGUACUCUAGGGUAAUUGAUAGAAAAAUCCUAGUAUCAAUUUGGCGCCGCUGCCAUUUGGGUGUUUGUGUGUUACAUUUGAGAUUUCAGACUUGCUAAGAUCAAGUUUUUACUCAACAUUCACUACAGUUACUCACUCUGUUCCUUCUGUUUGUUUAUUAAUUCAGGUACAACUCUUGCUCAACUGCUCCUACUCGACUGACACACUCAACCGAUAAGAGGGAUAAGCUGAUUUGAGUUGUAUGCACACACGGUCGCAAGGCACAGAGAACUUGUUCCAGCCCUCCGACCGUAUUGAUCGCUUGGUACCUGCAUCACGACAGCAACGCAACAGAGUUACACCACCCCAAGUGGAGAUGGAAAACAUUCAACCACCACCCCACCCCCACCACGGGCACCUACACGGAUUGGAGCUGGUGAUGCUCCACGCAACCAUACCCAUCGUCAGGGUAUAGUGCCUCCAGCCGUGGCGAACAACAACUUUGAGAUCAAGAGUGGUCUGAUCUCCAUGGUCCAGCAGAAUAAAUUUCAUGGUCUGCCUAUGGAAGACCCCCUGGAUCACCUUGAUGAGUUUGAUCGUCUCUGUAGUCUCACCAAGAUCAAUGGGGUCAGUGAGGACGGUUUCAAGCUACGUCUCUUUCCAUUCUCUUUGGGUGACAAAGCUCAUCAAUGGGAGAAAACUCUUCCUCCAGGAUCUAUCACUUCCUGGGAUCAAUGCAAGCAGUCGUUUCUUGNNNNNNNNNNNNNNNNNNNNNNNNNNNNNNNNNNNNNNNNNNNNNNNNNNNNNNNNNNNNNNNNNNNNNNNNNNNNNNNNNNNNNNNNNNNNNNNNNNNNUCAAAAGUUAUCAGUCUCAGUGCCCCCAUCAUGGUUUCACCAAGGAGUCUCUCCUCAGUACUCUUUACCGGGGUGUUCUCCCAAAGAUCCGGAUGUUGCUUGACACUGCCAGCAAUGGCAACUUUCUGAACAAGGACGUUGACGAAGGUUGGGAGCUUGUUGAAAACCUAUCCCAAUCUGAUGGCAACUACAAUGAAGAUUAUGAUAGAACCAUCAGGGCGAGCACAGAUCUUGAUGAGAAUUACAAGAAGGAGAUGAAAGCUGUGAAUGAUAAGUUGGACAAGCUAUUGAUGAGCCAUCAGAGGAACAUCCAUUUCGUCUCUGAAGACGACCCUUUCCAGAUUCUGAAUGGGGAGGGAGAACAAUCUGAGGAGAUAAGCUAUGUCCAGAACCAAGGUGGAUACAACAAGGGAUACAAUCCUUAUAAGCAGAAUCCAAAUCUGUCCUAUCGGAGCACCAAUGUUGCAAACCCCCAGGAUCAGGUUUAUCCACCUCCACAACAGCAGCAGCAGGGGCAGAACAAACCAUUUGUGCCCUACAACCAAGGUUAUGUGCCCAAACAACAAUUUCAGCAAGGUUACCAACCUCCAGCAGGACCACCACCAGGAUUCCAACCUCAACAUGCUCCGCCUCCUCAGGCACCAGAUCAAGACAUGAAAAACAUGCUUCAGCAACUCCUACAGGGACAAGCAAGUGGCUCCAUGGACAAUGCUAAGAAGUUUGCUGAGCUGACUCAGAGAUUGGACUGCUCAUACAAUGAUCUGAACAUGAAGAUUGAGACUCUGAAUUCCAAGAUCAAGUAUAUAGAGGGUAAAACUGCUUCUACUUCUGCCCCAAAGCCGGGCCAACUCCCAGGAAAAGCUGUUCAGAAUCCUAAGGAGUUUGCUCAUGCCAUCACGCUGAGGAGCGGUAAAAACUUGCCUCCCAGACAAGGACCUGUUGUAGUCACUGGGGACAGUGAAGACUUGGAAGGGGAGGAUGUAUGUCAGAAUGAAGAUCCGGUUGUUCCUUUGGAAGAAUCAGAAGUCGUACCUGAAGAAGCUCCUCAACCUGCUGAGAAACAUGCUGAAACACCUGCAGCAUCCAAGGAUAAGUCUGCGAGAUACGUUCCCCCACCAUACAAACCACCUCUACCAUUUCCAGGACGAUUCAAAAAGCAGCAAGCUGAGAAGUAUAAGGCUUUAUUUGAAAAGCAAUUGAGAGAGAUUGAGUUGAGAAUGCCAUUGCUGGAUGCAUUCGCACUUGUCCCUCCUUAUCAGAAGUUCCUCAAAGAUUUGGUUAUGGAGAGAACAAAAGAAGUCCAGGGAAUGGUGAUAUUGAGUCAUGAAUGCAGUGCCAUUAUCCAGAAGAAGAUCACUCCCCUGAAGCUUAAGGAUCCUGGAUCCUUCACUCUACCCUGCUCACUAGGCCCCCUAUCUUUCAACUGAUGCCUAUGUGAUCUUGGAGCUUCUGUGAGUCUGAUGCCGUUGUCUGUGGCUAAGCGUUUAGGAUUCACAAGAUACAAGGCAUGCAACAUAUGUCUCAUUCUAGCUGACAGAUCAGUGAGGCUCCCGCAUGGACUCUUGGAAGACUUACCAAUAAGGAUUGGUGUUGUUGAGGUCCCUACAGAUUUUGUUGUUAUGAAGAGCCUAAGGAUCCCCUGAUUCUUGGAAGACCAUUCCUAGCCACUGCUGGAGCUAUCAUUGAUGUUAAGAAGGGGAAGAUAGACUUAUGCUUGGGAGAAGACUUCAAGAUGACAUUUGACAUUAAGGAGUCUAUGAAGAAACCAACAAUCAAUGGCAAGGUGUUCUGGAUAGAGGAGAUGGAUCAGCUAGCUGAUGAACUUUUAGAAGAACUUGCUGAGGAGGAUCAUCUCAAGACAGCGUUGACAAAGAGUGGAUCAGAUGGAUUUCUUCAUGCUGAGACAAAGGUCUACGAAACGUUACUGGAUACCUACAAGGCAACUGAUGAUUCAGAACGUUUUGAGGAAUUGGAUAAGUCUGUCAAGGAGGUAUGCACAGUAGAGGAGGAAGUCAGUGGCAGCCCGAUGACUCACCAUGCUGUUGACCCUGUCAAUGCGGCUGAUGAUGACUGGUCAGAGUUAAAAGCUCCCAAGGUUGAGCUCAAACCGCUACCCUCAGGACUGAGGUAUGUAUUCCUUGGAUCCAACUCUACUUAUCCUGUCAUUGUGAAUGCUAGCUUGAGUAAUGAGGAAUUAGAGUUGCUAGUCACUGAGCUUAGAAAAUAUAGAAGGGCCAUAGGUUAUUCCUUAGAUGAUAUCAAGGGGAUCUCACCUAGUCUCUGCAUGCAUAGGAUUAAUCUGGAAAAUGAAUCAUACUCUAGUAUUGAACCUCAAAGGAUAUUGAAUCCUAACCUUAAGGAAGUUGUGAAAAAAGAAAUUCUUAAACUGUUGAAUGCUGGGGUUAUCUAUCCUAUCUCUGAUAGUACUUGGUUAUCCCCAGUGCAUUGCGUACCUAAGAAAGGAGGGAUUACAGUGAUAAAAAAUGAAAAAGAUGAAUUGAUCCCCACUAGGACUAUCACUGGCCAUAGGAUGUGCAUUAAUUACAGAAAACUGAAUGCUGCAUCUAGGAAAGAUCAUUUCCCGCUUCCUUUCAUUGAUCAAAUGUUAGAACGAUUAGCCAAUCAUCCCUACUACUGUUUCCUUGAUGGGUAUAGCGGAUUUUUCCAAAUCCAUAUCCACCCAAAUGAUCAGGAAAAGACUACGUUCACUUGUCCAUAUGGCACAUUUGCCUACAGACGCAUGCCUUUUGGUUUGUGUAAUGCACCUGCAACAUUUCAGAGGUGUAUGACCUCUAUAUUCUCGGAUUUGAUAGAGGAGAUGGUGGAGGUGUUCAUGGAUGAUUUUUCCGUGUAUGGCUCCUCCUUCUCCUCAUGUUUGUUAAAUCUCUGCAGGGUAUUAGCAAGAUGUGAGGAGACAAGCCUGGUGCUCAACUGGGAGAAGUGUCACUUCAUGGUGAACGAAGGGAUAGUGUUGGGACACAAGGUAUCAGAGAAAGGGAUUGAGGUUGAUAAGGCAAAGAUUGAGGUCAUGGUGCAGUUGCAGCCUCCCAAGUCAGUCAAGGAUAUAAGGAGUUUCCUUGGGCACGCUGGGUUUUACAGAAGAUUCAUCAAGGACUUCUCAAAAAUUGCAAGACCCCUUACAAGACUGCUGUGCAAGGAGGUCGAGUUUGUUGUUGAUGAGAGCUGUCUGGAAGCUUUCAACAAGAUCAAGGAAGCGUUAGUCUCAGCACCAAUAGUCCAAGCUCCAGACUGGGAUCAUCCUUUUGAGAUAAUGUGUGAUGCCUCAGAUUAUGCAGUAGGGGCUGUGUUGGGACAGCGAAUAGAGAAGAAACUGCAUGUCAUCUACUAUGCGAGCAGAACCCUUGAUGAGACACUAGGGAGGUAUGCAACAACAGAGAAAAAGCUCUUGGCUGUAGUCUUUGCGUUUGAGAAAUUCAGAAGUUACUUGGUGGGAUCAAAAGUGGUAGUCUACACAGACCAUGCUGCGCUUAGACAUAUAUACUCCAAGAAGGAUACCAAACCAAGACUGCUGAGAUGGAUACUUCUACUCCAGGAGUUUGAUAUGGAGAUUGUUGACAAGAAGGGGAUAGAGAACGGCGUUGCUGAUCACCUGUCCAGAAUGAGAAUAGAAGAUCCAAUCCCUAUUGAUGACUUUAUGCCUGAAGAACAUCUCAUGGUUGUUGAGAUAUGCAAGAAGAUGCAUCAAACAGGAAUGGCUAUGAAGGAGCUUCAAUGUCUAGCAGUCAAUUCAGAGAGUAUGCCCUGGUAUGCGGAUGUGGUUAACUACAAAGUCUGUGGAGAGAUUCCUGCAGACAUGGAUCCUUAUAGGAAAAAGAAGUUUUUCAGAGAUGUCAACCACUACUUCUGGGAUGAACCUUACCUGUACAAGAGGGGUUCAGAUGGACUGUUUAGGAGAUGCAUAGCAGAAGGAGAAGUACAGGGAGUGCUUGAGCACUGUCAUGGAUCCGCAUAUGGAGGACACUUCGCUACAUUCAAAACAGUUCAGAAGGUUCUACAAGCAGGCCUUUGGUGGCCAACGUUGUUCAAGGAUACAAACAGUUUCAUCACCAAGUGUGACGCUUGCCAGAGGAUGGGUAACAUCAACAGAAGGAAUGAGAUGCCUCAGAACCCGAUUUUGGAAGUAGAAAUUUUUGAUGUUUGGGGAAUUGAUUUCAUGGGACCGUUCAACCCUCCAUCAAAUGGCAACGUCUACAUUCUGGUUGCAGUCGAUUAUGUUUCAAAAUGGGUUGAAGCCAUUUCAAGUCCCACCAAUGAUCACAAGGUUGUUCUGAAACUGUUCAAGAGCAUUAUCUUUCCCAGGUAUGGAGUACCUAGAGCAGUGAUCAGUGAUGGUGGUACACACUUCAUCAACAAAGUUUUUGAAAGCAUGUUGAAGAAGUAUGGUGUGAAGCAUAAGGUGUCUACGGCCUACCAUCCCCAGACAUGUGGACAAGUUGAGGUCUCCAACAAGCAGAUAAAAGGAAUCUUGUCAAGAGUUGUUGGGGUUUCGAAGAGAGAUUGGUCUACCAAGUUGGAUGACACUCUAUGGGCGUAUAGGACAGCUUUCAAGACACCAAUAGGAAGGACACCUUUUCAGCUGGUGUAUGGUAAAGCAUGUCAUCUCCCUGUGGAGAUUGAGUAUAAGGCGCUUUGGGCUAUCAAGCUUCUGAACUUGGACAUCGAUGCAGCCCAAGCAAAGAGAGUUCUUGACAUCCAUGAACUUGAGGAAAUCAGACUUGAUGCCUUCGAGAGUUCCAAAAUCUAUAAGGAGAGAACCAAGGCUUUUCAUGAUAAGAAGAUUGUCGUUAACGAGCUUAACGCUGGAGAUCACGUCUUGCUGUUCAAUUCCAGACUGAAACUGUUUCCUGGAAAGCUCAAGUCCAGAUGGUCUGGACCAUUUGAAAUCAAGGAUGUUUUGCCAUUCGGUGCGAUCACUCUCCUGAACAAGGAUGGCAGCGAGUUCACUGUGAACGGUCAACGUGUCAAGCGAUACCUAGCGGAUCAAGAGACACCAGAGGGGUCCUCCAUACCUCUCUACGAGCCUCCCAAAGCCUAAAGGGCAUAAACAGUCAAGCUUAGUGACUUUAAACAAGCUCACUUGGGAGGAAGUCCCAAAGGUAUCCCUGUACAUAUUGCUUAGGAUUUUUCUUGUGUUUUUAAUUUUUGUUUUUGGUUUUGUGUUGUUCAGGACAUCAAAGACAUGAGAGAACAUAUACAUUAUUAUCAGAACGUGAAAUGAACGAAGUGAGCGGGAGAUGCAGUGUCAAACAUAGUUCAGUGAGAUGGUGGGUAGAGAUGUUUAGGAUUUUUUGUGUUUUUGAUUUUUGUUUUUGGUUUUCUGUUGGUAAGGAUUUCAGAUAGAUGGAGUAAUGCAAAACAGAGUAAGAUGCGGAUGCAGAAUCGAGUAUGACAAAAUGAACAAAGUGAGUGGGAGAUGCAGUAUCAAAAAUAUUUCAGUGAAAAGUUAAAAAAAGUAAAAAAAUAAAAAAGAAAAAAAGAAAACCCUCUUUUCCUUACCCACUCGAUUUUUCCUAUCCUUUUCUCCCUAACCACACAAAAAAAUCCUAUCUUCUCUCUAUCUCUCUCACUCGAUAUCCUUCACCACUUCUCACAUCCUCUCACCAUCCACUCAACCUCGCAGCUACCACUCGACCCUCACUCGAGUCACGCCGUCGAAGCAUCCUCUUCACUCGGCCGGGUUCACUCGAGCACCGAGGCUCACGCGACCCUUUCUCACCAUCCGCUCAUCCUCACUCGACGCGCACACCACUCGACGGUAAAGCUCUCGCUCGACUCGUCGGAUUUCAGCUCACUCGACCGUCACUCACUCGACCGUAUUCACUCGAGGUUACCGUCAAUCUACUCGAGUAGCUACUAAAGCUCACUCGAGCUCCCACUCGAUCGACACGCUCCACACAUCGCUCGUGUCUAUUCACUCGAUUCCUUCUCUCAAUCGGCUAAGCUCCACCCCCAACCGACAAGUACUCGACCACUUUGUCUUCACUGGUGCUACUCGACCAGUCGUACUCGACCCUUACUCGACUCGCUUUCGCCUCCUCCGAUUCCACCAGCCAAGCGAGCUCCUCGCCACUCGACGUGCAUCACACACUCGACGAGUCAAGCUCCCAAGCUUCACUCGACCACUCUCACCGUCGCCUCACUCGAACUUCCCAUUGAUACUCUUCACACGCGUGUGUACCUCGACCGAGCACAAGGUCACUCGACCGAACCCAGCUGGAUACUCACUCGACCGAGAAGUGCAAAAGUGAUAAAUUUGCUAAGUGUUACUUCCCUUGGCAUUUCUCUAUAUACAUUGGCUAUUUUAUCUUGAUAUUUGGCACACUAACGAGCUAAUUUUUAGUUUUGAGUUCCAAUUGUUUCAGUUUCACAAUGUCAAGAGAUUUGUUGCAUGAAAUGCGUGAGAAGUAUGGUUGUAAACCAACAGAGCGUGCAUCUCCUCACUCUAUGUCCAAGGUCUACAUGGAGAAGAAGAAAGCUGCAUAUGAGAGAGCGUCUGGUGUUGGUCCUUCUCAAGCAAGAAGCAGAGCUAAGUCUUCGGGUAAAAAACCAAUGGAGCUGCGGGAUGAUGAUAGUGAUUAUGAGCUUGAAGAGCAUCCACCUGUCCCAGCUCGCAAGUCAGCGCAGAAGAAGAAGACAGAGAAGUGGUUAGCCCCGGGAGAGUAUUACAAGCUGUUUCAGCAGCAUGAGUUUCAGGGCACGAGGUAUCCUUGCCAGCAGACGAUGGAUGAGCUGGCUAUCUCGAGUGAUGUCGAGUAUAUGUUCGAGCAUUGUCAUCUCAGCACACUCAUGACUAGUCCGCGAAAUGCAUACCGAGAGGAGACAAUUCAGUUCCUCUGUACGCUUGCCAUACAUCUUUAUGAGGAUGAUCCGGACAUAGAGUCGGAUGGAGGAUUGGGAUACAUCACCUUCACCAUCCAUGAUCAUGAGUAUCUUCUGACCAUCAGAGAGCUGGAAGGUUUGUUUGGAUUCCCUAAUGGAACAGGGAUUGGGCAGAGGAUUGAUAGGGAUGAAUUGUUGGAUCUUUGGGAAACGAUUGGGAAUGAUAAGAAGUUCGCUUCAUCUAGGACCAAGAGCAACCACAUCAGAAGUCCAAUUAUCCGCUACUUCCAUCGAUCAGUUGCAAACGUGUUUUUCGCGAGGGAGACAACAGGGACACUGAUCAACGGGGAGCUGGAGAUGAUUGAUCUUGCACUUAAAGAUCUCUUGUUAACAGCAGUAGAUGGGACACUACUGCGAGGUGAUACGACUGAUACAUCUCCCUCGUUCACUCUGUUGCACCAGCUACUCAGUUACAGAACUUGGGUAGUGAAGCUGAGCAGCUGCAGAACUCAAGGAGUUAUGUGUAUGGGCGGGUUGGUGACAGUCAUCUUGGAAGCUUGUAGCGUCCCGCUGAGUUCAGAGCCUAUUGCACCGAGAUUCAUCGACAUUCAGAACUUGAGGCAAGCUCAAUGGUUGCAUUGGGAGAAACGCAACGGGUUGUAUAUGUAUUACUUCACUCACCCCGUACAUGGUGACGUGCGAUUUUUGCUUCCUUGUAUCGCUUUCACUAGGAUACUCGAAGGAAGCAACAUUGAGUUUACUCCCCCUGCAGAGGCUCUCUACACGACAGAUGGUGAGGAAGCGAUGGAGGUAUCUGAGAAAGAGGAUGNNNNNNNNNNNNNNNNNNNNNNNNNNNNNNNNNNNNNNNNNNNNNNNNNNNNNNNNNNNNNNNNNNNNNNNNNNNNNNNNNNNNNNNNNNNNNNNNNNNNNNNNNNNNNNNNNNNNNNNNNNNNNNNNNNNNNNNNNNNNNNNNNNNNNNNNNNNNNNNNNNNNNNNNNNNNNNNNNNNNNNNNNNNNNNNNNNNNNNNNNNNNNNNNNNNNNNNNNNNNNNNNNNNNNNNNNNNNNNNNNNNNNNNNNNNNNNNNNNNNNNNNNNNNNNNNNNNNNNNNNNNNNNNNNNNNNNNNNNNNNNNNNNNNNNNNNNNNNNNNNNNNNNNNNNNNNNNNNNNNNNNNNNNNNNNNNNNNNNNNNNNNNNNNNNNNNNNNNNNNNNNNNNNNNNNNNNNNNNNNNNNNNNNNNNNNNNNNNNNNNNNNNNNNNNNNNNNNNNNNNNNNNNNNAUCACACUUGUCAGAGGAGCAUCAUGUUGAGGAUCUGACCAUGGAUCAAGCCGAGGAUCACAUUGAGGACCUGACUGUUGAUCCAGGUGCGUAUCAUUUCCAAGACCUCACUGCGGAUCCUGUCGAGCAGAACGUUGAGCAACCAGCAGUGGCUCCUCCUGUCCCGCCUGCACCAGGUGCUUAUACAAGCGAGUCCAUGACUCAAUACCUGGAUUGCUAUUUUCAGUAAGGUACCACUCCAAACCUUCAUUUGUAUAUACCAUUGCAUUUUCAUACUUUUCUUUGUUUGAUUCUCAAACCAACUCUCAAAUUUUUAUUACACAAGAGACUGUGUAAUUUAAGUUUGGGGGAGGGUUUGGGAUGACAUUUGAUGUUGUGUUCUCUUUUCUUAUUUUGAAUUUUUAGCAUAUAAUUUGCAUUCAUAUAUGUGCAUUGAAAACCCCUAAAAAUUUGAAAAAUUUUCAGAAAAAAAUCUUUAAAAACAGAGUGAUCNNNNNNNNNNNNNNNNNNNNNNNNNNNNNNNNNNNNNNNNNNNNNNNNNNNNNNNNNNNNNNNNNNNNNNNNNNNNNNNNNNNNNNNNNNNNNNNNNNNNGUCUAGAUUGUUUCAUGUAGGACUGUUGCAUUAGCAUAGGGGGCGAUGAUGAGUUACACCUUGUUGAUUUGCUAGGAUUCACCAGUUGAGAUCAAUGCCCUGGUUGUUAGCUUUUUGAUGCAUGAUGAUUGAACUUGAAGUAAGUCUGAAACAAACUUGGAAUUCAUGAAGAGCAUUCUUGAACUUGGUUGAAACAUGUUGUGAUAUGAUCUCAUUCCUUAUCCUAUAAGAACUUAAUCUUGACUUGCAAAUAUCUGGUUGUGUUUUGCUUGCAUGCUCAUGGUCACCAUAUACAUAUUUGGAUCAUCUUCCUCCUUUCACCACUCUUGUUGAUCCAAGUAGCUGAUCUUUCUUUUGAUCAGUUUGCCACACCCACAGCCUAUCCUUUUCUUUCAAGCCAAUUGAUAAUUUUUGAGUGGUAGGUCUUUUACCGGAUUAUGCUUGGGGAGAACGUGUUAGGUAUGAGCUGACAGGAUUAAAAUCUUGAGUAGUUCUGAUUUUCAGUUUCAAAUCAGAUAGGAAUAGGUUGGGAUUCUUACUUGGGUUUGGGAUUGGGAUGAUUGUGGAAAGAAAGAAGAGAAACAGAAAAAGUUGUGUCCUUAGGAGGAGAAUGUUUUCUAGAAGUUUAUAAUCUAGUGAUUAUUUUUGCGGGGUUAGCAUGAUAUACGGAGAAUGGUUCUAGGAUGUUAAGAAAGUGAAAAAGUUUUGAUGUUUUAUAACGUAAGAAGAAAACAGAACCAUAGUUAAGAAGAAAUCCCCUAUCCACUAGUAUUGAUAAGAAACUUCUCCUAAGGCAAAAAGCAAAAAGAAAAAAAUGGGAUUGAUGUUGAAGGGUAGACAUAGGGAUCAUCCGGGUUUAGAUGAUUAGGAGUAAGCACUUGGGAACCAUUGGGUAGUCAAGGUUUUAUUCCUGUAUGCAUUUGUUGGUCCUUACCUUUAGCAUUCUCCCUAAAGCUCAAUCCAUUCAUUGAGAGAUCCUUGUCCUGAAAUUGUUUAAACCCUCAUGAUUCUCAAAACCUUUUUCUGCCUAGCCAAGUGAGUUUGUUAAGCCUUGCACAACCAGAUUCAUAUACUUGAGUAAUGAAUGUUAAAAGGAAUGAAUGAUUUGAAUGCAUGUGUAGAUCAAGGGAUAGAAUCAGUUUCGGAUUUGAUGAGUUUGUCUAAAAUCGUUAAGUAAAGUUCUCUCAGCAUGCAUCAAAGACUUAGCAACCAGGACAUUGAUUUUAACUGCUCUAUCUUGCAAGUUACAGGUUCUGAGACCCCAUUUUCAAACCUCUCUUCCACUUUGUUUCUUUUUGCUUUGCUUGAGGGCAAGCAAAGACUAAGUUUGGGGGAGUUGAUAAGUCUGUAUUUCAUUGCUUUUUGAGUAUGCAUUCAUCAUCUAUUCAGCAUCAUUCACUUGUUGAUUCGCAUCAUAUUGAUCCCUUUCUGCAUGUUUUACAUACUUAGGUAGGUUUUAUGCAUAUCAUGCAUAUCAUACAUAUCUUGCAUACAAUGUGCAUAUUUGGAGUGUCUCAG
Molecule: long non-coding RNA, 69937 nt
Filed under: Capsella rubella
Lineage: Eukaryota; Viridiplantae; Streptophyta; Magnoliopsida; Brassicales; Brassicaceae
Description: long non-coding RNA (CRUB_LNC002535)
Source: RNAcentral